RNAcentral lists this long non-coding RNA (63883 nucleotides) under Phoenix dactylifera (date palm). RNAcentral describes it as "long non-coding RNA (PDAC_LNC001952)". The record is from RNAcentral. Lineage: Eukaryota; Viridiplantae; Streptophyta; Magnoliopsida; Arecales; Arecaceae.
CAUAGGUUGAGGUAGUUGGAUGCAGUUAUCGUAUCCCUAUGAUAUCCUGCAUAGUGCAUACACAUUGUAGAUGCAAUCAUAGCUUUAAAGCCCUCCCAAUAGUUUCAGGAUACUGCAAAUCAUUUUACGUGAAUAUAGUAAUCAGAUAAAUGGAUGCGGAGGUUCCCGAGCCUAAUUCAGGCACAAGGCUUUAAGAAUUCCCUGGUCGAAAGAGAGUUGCUUCACUGCUACCUCUUAGAAAUGCUAUUUAGCUAUUUCUCCUGUUCCGCCCAUGGGGCAUCCUCAACAACGCAGCUGCACCUACCCGCUAAAACACGGAAUAUGCUGUCCAAGCUCGGGAAGUACUUCAAGCACUGCAAGGUUGCCCACAAAAUGCUGUCCAAGUGAAGUGUGUCAUGGUUCUCAAUUGUUCCAAAUGUAGAGAGUGACAAGCGGCAAAUGACAAGAAGUAACAAGCCAACUUCAACAAGCUUAAGUGUGACAACAGCUUCUAGCAUCAUGAAUGUAAGAUAAUACAACAAAUAAGAGAGAAAAAAAAGGCUUAAGAAUAAUAUUUUUACAACCCAAUCUUGCCCACCUUCUUGUUUAGUGCUGAGACUGCCUUGGAAACUCUGAAAUUUAACAACUACUGAGCCACAGCAACAGUCAGGUCAGUAAGCUAAUAUCACAACCUUCUCGGCCAGGCCAAAUGCUUCCAUCAUGGACAGACUACCUUUAUAACCUUUCAAUCCCCAAUUCCCCAGUCUGAUACUGGUGAAAAUAAAUGAAAGUUCACCUCUUGAUAGUAAGUCUGUACAGUUGACAAUGCAUGAGCAUUAUUGAAUGUAAUAACAAAUAAACUAGCCGAGAUCUCCAUGGAGUUGAUGUCAUAACAUGUGAAACAAUUGCACAUAUGUCAUUGAACCAAUUACCAAUGACUACUAGGACCAGCAUGAGCUGCAGCCACUUUACUUGCAACGUAAGGCUUUGGCUGCACAACCUUGGCUCCUUCAAUUCCCUCAUCUUCUCUUUCACUCUUACAGCUUGGGUUCCUUCGGGGAUAUGAAGAUGCAUAUUGUGUGGGGAUGGCAGGAUUUCUGGUAGCCCUUCGCUGUUCAUACAGCUCAGGACCUGAGGUUAUGCAGUUGUUGUAAUGCAACAAAGAUCCGACAACUUUGCCAGGCCUUGCUCCAGCACCUGUCAAUGCAAGGCAAUACGCAUAAUAAGCUUUGCAUCAUCGAGUAACCAAAGUAAAUCUGGGUAUUGCAACAACACAGUAAAACUGGAAAAAUUCAUUUAACUAUUUGCUCAUUAUUUAGUGGAUCCAAGUAACAACUCUCGAUCAGUUAUGGUAAUUCUACAGCACAUACUCAGCUUUCUGAGUUGUUAUAUGCAUCAAUAUUUGUGCAUAAAUUUGAUUCAAGCUUUUGCCCAUGAAUAGUAAUAGAAGAAAACCGAAGUCAUGAUAAUUAGAAAAGCUGAGAAAUAAGUGUUUCAAAAGAAUCAGCAUGACACAGAGACCAAAAUCCACAACAAAUUGCAGGCUCCAAAACCUAAUACUCCUAGACAACAAAUGAAGUGACAAGAUACACAUGCACAACUCUUUUUCAUCUAUAACACCAUCAGAAAGACCGCAUCUUAUAAACAUGCAAAGGAAACUUCUCUAUAAGAUAUAUUUUCCGGAGUAAGCUGAUAAAGAAUAAGAAACAUCAAAAAUCCAUGUUUUGUGAAUUGAAGGCACUGUAAUAGUUAAUCUCCUGGACAAAUAAGGUUUCUCAGUAUGUUUAUCUCCAUUUGUUUCUUAACUGUGUCACAAUAUCUAAAAGCAAGACAAUUAACAAGAUAAUCUUGUUUCCCCCAUCUUUCUGGUCUAAUGGACUAGCAACAUUAAAAAGAACAGUAUUUUUAACAUGAGAGAGCAAGAGAUAAAAAGAUAAGAGAGAGAGAGGAAUAGAGAGAUCACUUAAAAGGGAAAUAAACAAAAGAAUAAAAGAUGGUGUGCAUAAAAUGUUCACAUCUAUUCUUCUCUUUCUUUCACGGCAACCCCCUGCCCCAACAAAAAAAAGGGUACAUAUGAUGAUGCAAGUAAUGGACUACAUUUAAAUAUGGCAAGGGUUGCAAGGAGAAGAAAAGAAGAUUUACUCGAACUAUGAAGUAGCAUAGAAGAUAACUACUAUUACAGCAGCGACUCUCCAAUCCAAUCUGCUAAAAGGAUGCAACUUUUUUUUUUGCAUCAGCCUCCCAUGUCAAGUUUACGGAUUGGUCCCCCCCUUUUUGUAAUAGUAAUUAUAGAUGUGUCAGCAGAUGGUAAAGAAGAAGAAACCACAUGGUGUAUGUUGUUUGUGGACUGUCAUAUAAGGAUUUGCAAGGUAUCACUGGACAUAAUUGGUAGAAUCUCAUGCUUCUAGAGGGAUCAUCUACAAGGCUCAGUGUACCAGAUCCUGGACACGAUCUUCCUAGAGAUGGAGAGUGUGCUGCCUCGCCUUUUCUAGCCUCUCCUUCUUGCUUGCUUACCUUGCUCUUGUCUUAAUGACUCUUCCUCUUUUUUAGGUUUUUUUUUUCUGAGAGUUAAAAUGCUAGAUGUUUCAUUUGCCAAUGACUUGGAUCCCUUUGACAGACUUAUCCUUCUGAUAGCGAUUGAUGUUGCUGCCAGAAUCAAUGCCUCCAAUCUGUCUGAGGAGAACCAGAAUUCCAAGGAUAUCAUGGAACAUUACACUGAAACUUAAUUCCUAAAAGCUGCUAUAUUUGCCUCAAGCUCCUCAGCUAAGCCUGAAGGCCUCUCUGCUCCACUUCAACUUGGUGCUGUUGAAAACUAUCCUAGGUGAGUCUGAUCGAUCCAAUCAUGAAUGAUGUCAACCCCUCUUUUUCGCCUAACAAAUGGAUUAGACUAGAACAGAUAUUACUCCAAAUUGGAAAAAAAAAAUUCCUAAAUGCUUCAAACUACAGCGAAGUUCGACGAAUGAGCGGCUAAAAUAUGGCCAAACUAAAACAGAGAACAUGGAAUACAUCUUUGGUGGAUAAUUUUCUAAAAUGAGGCACUGAUGGAUAAUUUGCUAAGGAUGAGGCACCUGUUAUUUUCUUAUAUCGAAGCCAUGACCUUCAGUGACCGUAUGCCUAAUACCAUGUUAACAAACCAUUUGCCCCUAAAAGCUUAAGUUUGUUAUAUGUAAAGGAAUGGGUCAACGAUGCAUGUUAGGCUUAAAGACUAUAAUAGGCAAGAUGGUAAUGGAAGGAGCGCAAUGGGGAUGCUACAUCACAGACAUUAAGAAAAGAGCAUAUGUGAAUAGCGGAGAUGAGGAUAUGUAGAUCAGGGCAUCGCAAAACUAGGAAGGAUAUGGGUUGAAACAAGUAAUUUAAUGGAUGAUAACAAAUUGCACUGAUAAAAGACCUAUUCAGAUCACAGAGUAAUGUAAAAAGAAGAUCAUAGAAGGUAAAAGUCAGAGAAAAGGGGCACCAUGGGGUAGUACUAGGAUUACAUGAAUACAGUGCAUGAAGGGGCAAUCCAUUUGCAUAAUUCACUUAAACUGAGGCCAUUCAAAGGUGCAUAAUACCGGUGAUUUUUUCAACGUUGCACAGCUAGCUCUUCCAGGCUAAGUGGCCAAUUAUAUGACAGUUCUAACUUCACCCCUUUGUUGAAGCAAGUAUUAUUCUCGGCAUUCACAUUUUUUUUCUUUAAAAAAUUUUAAUUACUAUUUACAAUUUUAGAGAGCAAGCUCCCAGUUGAAUAUUUUUAACAUGCCUAAUCAUAAGUAUAUCAAGGUCAUCUUCACUUUCAAACAACCAACGAGAUGAAAUGCUACCCACUAACUGAAAUUACAUAUCCAAGUAUUGAAUAGAGUAAACAAGUUUGCUUGCUGCACAAAAAUUGUAAGAGCACUUGAUUAUUCACCUUGGACCCUUUGGGGAACUUGAAGUGGAACCCUUGUCAUAGGGACCAUGCAAUUCUCUGGUUUUGGCUUCUCAGAUUCCUUGAUUAAACAUUUAGAAGAAUCUUCUGUAAUGUCCCUUGAGUUCAGCAGCUUGUUAUCUGAAUAAAAAACAGAAGGCCUAUGCAUACAAAAGCUGAAUCAGUUGCACCUACACAUAGAAACAGAUCCCUUUGACUAUCUUCAAGCAUGAAAACAAGUAUCACAUACCUGGGUAAUGACGCAUGUUGCCUCUCAGGUGGGGCAACAGUUGCCCCACUUUCAUAGUUCUCUUCAAGGUAAGCAAACUGCUUCUUGAAGUGAUCAACAGCACUGUAAACAAAAUUAGUUUGAAUUUAACUUUGAAGAUAAUAGAACAUCAGGGGAAAACAAGGUUAAGUGUUUAAACUAAUUAUUGCACGGCACCAAGGUAUUUAAAGCCAGUGGCCAUCCUGCCAGCAUGAGACAUGCCAUGUUGUUUGCCAUGCCAAAGCAAAAAAUAAAAAUAAUAAUAAUAAUAAAAUAAUUUAAUAGAUUCAUUCUGAUCCAUGCUGGGUGCCAAUACUGGCCUGACAUGUUAUGUGCCCACAGACACCACCAGCAGUCAAAAACCUUGGAUUGCAAUAUUAAGAUUUAUUGGUGUACAAUUGCAAAACACUAUUGUUGCAAACAGGGUGAUUGAAAUGAAUGGUCUAGUUAAAAUUGUUGAAUGCUAACGUGAAAAGCAUACUUUGAACUAUGAUAAAGGAUAUACUUCCUAAGACAUUUUUUAGAUUUACAUUUUAGUUUGCCCAAAUUGCAACUUAAUAAGCUAGGUUCCAGGUAACUUGAAUAAUUAUAUGAAUCCAAGGUUGACCAUGUUGAAGUUUCCGAGGGUUAAAACAAUUGCCACAUUCCAGGCUGGCAGAAGGUAAUUAUAUAAAUUAUGCUAUCUAUAUCUUAGUUGCCAAAAUCAAAAGUGGAUGCGGCAGCUNNNNNNNNNNNNNNNNNNNNNNNNNNNNNNNNNNNNNNNNNNNNNNNNNNNNNNNNNNNNNNNNNNNNNNNNNNNNNNNNNNNNNNNNNNNNNGUUGUUGUUGUUGUGGUGGUGGUGGGUGGGUGGGNGGGUGNGAGAGGGGGGCCGGGAAUAGGGAACCGAACCUGCAUAUGCAUGUCAAUUCAGUGAGCUGCCUUGACGGAAUUGCUCAAUUAGUAAACAAGUAGAGCUUGAGCAUGAAACUAAACACAAAUAGUUUCAAGCUUAGCUUGAGAAUUGGCAGGUCAUCCUGUAUUUAAUUCCAUUAUAUGCAUGUGCAUGAGCAUUGCCAGGUCCUCCCAUAUUUAAGAAUAACUUUAGAACAAUGUAGUUCAGUAAACCAAUCAAAGUGCACUUUGCACCAUUAUAAGUUCAGUUGUGAUCUAAUGUUUGAGAUAUGUUCAAAGUGUAUAUUAAAAGCCAUGGGGUUCUAGCUCUCGCCAGUGAGCUGCUUGUUAACAGCUUGAGUUCGGCUUGAAAUUAAUUGACCCAACCUUAAGCUUGGGAGUUAGGAUUAAAUCACCUAUUAAGAUGAGCUAGAGAUUGGCCUGAUUAUAAUCAAGCCAAGCUCAGUCACACCCAGGAACCAGGGUCAGAAUAGAUAUACAAGUAAUAAAUGCAGAGACCUAUUAGAAUUUCAUUAUAGAAACCCACAUGCUAACUCCAAGCUAAUACGAGCAUCCAGCAUGUAUUUCUAGGAAUUGUGAUCACAAAGAAAUCGAAACCACUCAAAUGGCCGAAGUUAUGAUAGCUAAAUACCUUGGAUACAUGAAGCCAGUUGACUCUGUCCCUUCCAAGAACUCUUUCUUCAGCUUCGGAUGAUACUCAAGAAUUUCUUUAUAUAUGAGCUCCCUUACAUCUUCCUUCGUUAUCCUUCGUCUCUCAAAGUCAAACUCCAUUUUUGUGACUGGCUGAGCAGAAGGCUCCCUCUCAACCUUUGCUAUAUUCUUGAAAUAGGGAUCGGCCAAAGCCUGACACCUUGUGGCAAAAAUCAGUUUCUUUAGAUAGAGAAAUCAUAUUUAUAGACAAUAUAAAGGAGAAACAGAAAGCUUCAUUUCUGAUAAUUGUCAUCCAGUUGAAGCCUGCUAUUUGUACCUCCUCAGCAGUUGGGCGAUCCUUGGGUUCAAAAGCUAGCAUCCUCUCUAACAAACGAAGAGCAAGUGGGUCAGCAUUUGGAAACUUCCGAGAAAAAGGUACAGGUUUUUUUCUGCGCAUGCUGCUUAAAUACCGUCUUGCUUUCUCAUUGCGCACCUGCAGAAAGUAAAGAAAGGUUUAAUGUAGCUACUAUAAACUACAACCAACUCAAAAAGGCAUCCCGAUGUGUGUUAAAGAGUUUUUGUGAAGUGACACAGACCCUGGCAAUGGCUUCUGGAGAAGGUGUUCCCAACAGAUCUGUCAUUAUAUCCAAUUGGUGGACCACAUUCUUUCCAGGGAAAAGAGGUUUUCCAGUUAACAAUUCAGCAAAAAUACAGCCAAUACUCCAGAUAUCUAUUGCUGGUGUAUACUGCAACAAAUUCAAAUUGUCAAAUAAAAGUAAAUAUAUAGAUGCUUCUAUGAACUUCAGGAAAUAGAUUGUCAAAAUUUUAUAUAUCAAUAGAUAAUCAAGGUAUGUAUUCAUAGGUUAAUGUAACCAAAGGAGCCUAGGCAUGUUCACAUGAGGAAUAUAAUUCUUCUCUUUUCUGUAGCACUAUCGUGAUAAAUAGAACACAAGCUAUAGCAUAGAGCAAUAGCAAUAUCAAGAAAUAUUUAUAACCACCACUAUAUUAGUAGCAAAUAUUUCAUGACAUUAAGGGACCAGUAUUUCAUAGAUCAGAGAAUACUAUCAACAAUGCUAUGUACAUGAUGCACCAACAUCAUCAUCAAAAAAAGAAACGCAAGCAUGAAUCUGAAAAAAAAAAUCCCAAUUUCUGACACUUCAUAUGAGGGCCCACAACAUAAGUUCCUCUCUUUACUGAGAGCUUACAACCAUCCACCCCUUUAAUAUAGCUCAAGGGAAGAUUGCAGUCACAAAUCCACCAAUCUAAUGCAAGAUCAUGAAAUCCAUCUAAACCACCAAAGUCUCUCAUGAUAGAUCACCCUUAAGCAAGAAUAUAGCCAGCAUCACAACCCCUCUUUCAUGAUGACUGAAGUGACUCUCUAUCUCAAUUUGCCCAUCAAAGUAGGGCCAUAUCUUCUAGAUUAAGCGAAAGGUACUCGCCAAAACAGUCCUACUUUUCAAAUACCAUUGCUAAAUUGACCUCUUUGAUUUCCAGAAACAAUCCAAUGCCAGCUUCAUUUGGAUUCCCACUACAGAGGCAUCAGUCUUUGUUUUUAGUUAACCCACAUCGAGUAUUUCCUAUCUGCAUGAUUGCAUCAAAUCUUCACUUUACUUCUGGUCCUUUCCACCCUGUUUGCCAAUCUUGUCUUCUUAACUACAGCACUGUUUGGACCCAAGAUUUCAAAAGCCAGCAGCACAAACCAAAUGUGCCGGUGUUCCAUGUUAAAACAAUAAGGUAAAACGAAAAAAGGCCAUUGCCCAGUUAUAUUCUCAGUAAUCCAGGUCCAAGAAGGGGCAGACUGUAGGCAAACCUAAUCUUUUGCAAUUUUUUAUACAAAGUGGCUAUCCUAGGACCCAAAACCAUGCCAUUGCACUUGUCAGCCCAAGUAUUUACCAUUGCACCUAUCAGCCCAAGUCUUUACCAUUGCACCAAGCAAUGCCCCCAAAUUAGGUAAAAUAAAAUAAGGAAUUGAAAAGCCCUUUGUUAUUAAUGGUAUGUAAUAGAUGACAUGCCAAUCCAUGCCAGGUAUCAAUAUUGGCUUGGCAUGGUGUGUGCCGGACCGCACAGGCCAGCACUUGAAGCCAUGUUUUUAACAUUAAUAUUUUCUUAUUCUUCAUCUUAAAUUCUAAACAAAAUCCUAUUUUCUUCUCCUUAACUAUGAACUCAAUAAAGAAAAGAUGAAAAGAACCAAUUAAUAUGCAUUUGAGAAUGGUUAAGCCAGACCAAAUCAUCUCAGCCUGUUGGAAUUUGUUGUAACGUCAAUAUCAAUCAAAACUUCCCAUAGUUUUCUAGAUCUUCAGCGCAUGCUUAUAUGUUCAGGUUCCAACCAGAAACUUGAAAAAUAUACAAUCACAAUGCAGAGGAAACCAUUAAAAAAAGUUUAGUAGUUGGCAAUCUAGUCUAUCUUCCAUAAGCACACUUGACUCAAGGAAUGACAGAAGACUUCGUUAUACAUGCCCCACUCAAAAAAAAAUCUGAGGAUUUUCUUCUCCCAUUGCAUCUGACUUACGAUAACCAACCCAACUCAUCAUUUAGCCAUUUUCAUGGCAACUUCAGUAUGGAAUCUCCUCUCAACUUUCUCUGAGUGAAACGACAGACUGAGUUUUUCUUUUUGCCAAUUAUUAUGUCCAUUUGACAGCUGAUUAGCUCUAGAAAGCUACCCGCAGCAGUGAAGUCCGUUAUGCACUAAAACAACUGAACCAGCAGGCUUUUAAUAAUCCAUGGAUCCUGAACUACAGAGAUCUUAUUUCCAUCCCCAGUAAACUACUUAAACCUUUACAUGCAAACAACCUUCUUCAGAUUUGCAGUGGCUUCAUUAUCAUGAUAUUUAGCAUUAGUGAAUUGAGACCAUAUGAGCUGACCAAUGCAGAUCUUUUCAGCAACUUGUUUCAUCAUACGCUUCAUAAAACUUGCACAAUCAUUUGAUAACUAGCUUUCCCUAGUUCUCAAAACAUUAUUGUGAUAUAUGAGGUGCAGCUCCCUGUCUGACCCUUUAUUCCAGAGGAGCACUUCAAUUGGUUUUUCAAUCUUACCCAUAAUUCUGCAGGAAAAUGAGCAUAUCCAUUAUCGGCCUCUUCUCAAAGAUGUGUUUUAAGCCAUGUCGCCAGGAUACUUCUAUUUCUGGGAGUUUUGGAGUGCUGAUACUUUUGGAUACUUGGAAUAAACUUGACACUUGACAACAUUUCUAAAACAGUGUCCUGCUUAUGUCAACUAGAAAUGUUGACACUUGGUGGCUUUUUCAAGAAUCCUGUCAAAAGAACACUUUACUCAGUGACACUUGAAGUCUCAACUAUUUUGCCACUUAACAGUAUUACCAAAGUGUCUAGAUUUUCUAGUGAAGUGGCACACCUGUUUUUGGCUUUUUCUUUUUCUUAGAUGUUAUUACCACACAAAUUUAAGUUUUGUUUUCCAUAAUUUAAAGCAUUAUUGGCCGGACAACUUGCAUUACUCAUCAGCAAAUCCUAUGAUUUUUAGAUUUUUUUAUUUUUCUAAUUUGUAUCAGAGGGAAAUGUCCUUAUGCAGAUUUUUAGGGUUUAAGGUGUCAAACACUUGGGGACACGUAAGGGAUGCACUAGGGCUAGCCAGUCAACAAAAUUUUACAUAGUUCAGGUCACACUUUUGCCCCAGUCCUAUUAAUCAUUUAGAAUAUUCUCAGCCUAAGCACACCGAAUGUGCAUCCUUAUUGGCACCCAUGCCAAGUGUCUAGGUAUUUUACUCUUAACAUGCAUUAGGGUAUCAUCAAUUUUCCUCCAUCCUUAGCACUUCCGCAAAGAUUCUCUUGUGCUACUCCAUUAUAAUCACAUUAACCAGAAAUAGGACUUACUAUAAUCAAUCUUUUCCAGAAUUAUCUGGUAAUUUUCCAACAUACUCUAUGAAAACGAGAUAUAACUAGAAACAUAAUGCAUGGUUCAUAAUAAAUUCUUUAACAAGAUCGGAGACAAUAAUGCAACAGAAUAGAGAAGCAUCCACUUUCAAUAUUAUAAAUGAUAAGGUGAUUCUUCUUUGCAAAAAAAAAUAUUGAAGUAUAGAUCAUUCACAGAUUUUCCACGAAAAUACAGAUUGAGGUCAUAUUAUGAAUAUAUUAAGAGAGCAAAUAAUUAAAAUCCAGGAAAGAAGAAAAAAUCUUAAAAUAGAUAGCUCACAUAAAGUUUAUAUCACCAAAAGCAAUAUUAAAACUUUAAUUUUUUUAACAUGGAGAAUGAAUAAAGUCCACAGACCUUUGAGAAAAAUGAUCCACACAAUUCAGGCGCCCUAUACCACCUUGUUGCAACAUAAUCCUGCAAGUAGAGCCAAAAGUGAUUAGGUUAUCUCAAUUGUUCAAACUACUAAUUUACUAUGAAUGUUGAGAUCCAAGGAUAGUAUUUAUAAAAUUGAUGACCAUAUUUAAUUGAAAAGAAAAUACCGUCCAAAAUAUGGCAGUGGGAGUGUCAUGGAAGGCCACCCUUGCAAGUCCAAAGUCACAUAUCUUGAGUUUGCAGUCAGAAUUUGCUAAAAUAUUUUUGGGUUUAAGAUCCCUGUGAAAAACAUUUGCUGCAAAUUCAUCGAGGAUGAAAACAUAAGAAAAAAAACUUAGUAACCAAGAAAAAGACCAAGUUUGAUUAAAAUCCAACAUAAAACAUUCGAAGUCGUUCAUAUAUGAGUUGGAAAACCAUAUCCAGAUAAACAAGAUGAUUAUGUACCUCAAGUGUCUUUGAAUUCAUUAGCAAGUGUUUUGACGUUUGGCACGCUAAAUUACAAAAACAAAAUAUCAAGAAAAAAGAAGGAAAAUAAAGUGGUGCUACAGUUUCGAGCGAAGGGGAGGUAGGACAAGAAUAUGAAGGAAAAGGGUGUUAUCACCCGCCAAGACACAAUUAUAGUUACUAAUUUGAGAAGUCCCUGCAUAAAUAACCAAUGAAGAGCUUUAUGAACUUUGUCAUAGUUUUAGUUGUCUGAGUUGAGAAAAGGGGUUGGAGUGGCAAUGAAGAGCACAAAAAAUUAAUGAAUGCAGAAAUAUUUUAGUAGUUUUGCGUAGGAUUAAGUGAUGCAUUAUAAUUUCUUCAUAUGGUUGUAUUCUAAAAAAUUGCACAAUAUAGCAAUUCAGAAAUGAUGAAAUAAUAAACGAUAAAGGCAUGACUGAAUAUUGAUUUUGAAAAUAAGUAGGAAAAAGAAAGGCAUUAGAACAAUGGACCUUGAAGAAGCUACAGGAGUGAGAGCAAGACUGAAGACUGUGUGUAAUUCGGUUACUAAUGUCAAAAUCAUAUAAAAUAUUUAUCCUUAACCAACUUAAAUCAAACCCUAUAUUCUCAUGAGCAACCAAUAUGACAGCCAUCUUAUAUUCGUAAUGCAGAAAAGAUGAAAAAAAGGCAAGGAAAACAAGUUCCCAUAAACCUCUAAGCAGCAUAUGGAUCAAAAAUCAUUGUGUUGGAUGAUUCACACCUAUUAUUCAUCUGGAUAUAGAGAUAUGUACUUAAUUAAAUCAUGUUCACCUGGUUAUAGAGAUAUGUACUUAAUUAAAUCAUGUCUCCUGCACUGUGAUUGUCAACCUUGCAUGAUACUCCCCCAAUCCCCAGACUACUAAUCUAUACAGAAGGGUUGCUUCCAGCAUUAUAUCCCCGAACAUUUACAGCAUGGUUGCACUGUCUGUAAGCAUGUGCAUCCUCUGAAAAAAGCAAAUGAAAUAGAAACUAAAGUCCAAAACUCAUGCAAAAGAUAGAUGUACUAGUCACCUGUAUGUAUGUACUUUAAACCUCGAAGCAGCUGAUAAAGAAAAAAUUGAUAGUGUUCUGGAGUCAAAUCAUCAUUGGCCUUAAUAACCUGGUGUAAAUCAGACUCCAUGAGUUCAAAGACAACAUAGAUGUCUUUGAAUUCCCUUCUCGAUGGAGGUAACAGUAUGUGUUUGAUUUCCACAAUGUCCGGAUGACGCAGGAGCCUAAGAAGCUUAAUCUCACGAAGUAUUCGUGUGGCAUCAGAGACAUGUUCAAAGAUAUCAUUGAUCUUCUUGAUAGCAACUUUUUCCCCAGUAUGAGUAUCAAGCGCAGAGCAAACAACACCGUAGCUACCUUUGCCUAUCACUUCUUCUAUCUUGUACCUGCUACCCUCACCAUAUGCUGUGAAGAAGCCUACUUCUGCUGAUGCCUGUAUAAUCAAUGUCAUCAGGUCCAGAAUGUUGCUUGGCAGUUGGCACUACAUGAUAAGCGAGAGUCUACAAGCAGCAACUAUGUUUUUGAAUGUAUAAAAGGGAGAAAGAAGACAACAAUAACACUCAUAUUCUUAUCAGCCAUUAUGUGCCAUUAUGAGAUACUCCAUGCUAAGAUAUACAACUGUUUAUACUUGGAUAUAAUGCAAUUAAAUGCAUGAUCCUCUAUCAGAUACUGUUCAGACAUCUAUUAAUAUGGAAAACCCAAUAAAACAUCUAGGUGUCCAAUUGUUCAAUGAGUCACCGAUGAAUAGAUAGCUGACAGAGUCCAGGCACAAUUUAACUAGCAGAAUUGCGACGAGAUCAAUGACAUGAGUCUAUACCGAAAAUCCAUCAAAGAGGUCAUCAUCUACUCUCAGUCCAGAUCAACUGGCAAAUCAUCAUCAUGUAGAAAUUAUGACAGAUUACCAGCCAGUUUGACUCAACAUAUCUGUCAAUGAAUAUGAAGAGAUCAAAAAUCAUCAUCAUGUAGAAAUUAUGACAGAUUACCAGCCAGUUUGACUCAACAUAUCUGUCAAUGAAUAUGAAGAGAUCAACCUUCAGCAUCCAAAGGAAAAAGCUUAGCAAAUCAUCAAGGAUUCCAAAUUCAUGGAACACAGGAGUUGCCAAAAGAUAUCUAUCUUAUCAAGGAUAAAUGUGCUCUCAAAGGAUAUAUUUGCAAUCCACAUACAGAUCCCUCAUAUCUCUAUCUAGGAGCCACCAUUUCUGGACUUUUAAUGGGUGAAAGAUGACAUAAAACAAGUAGGCACAACAAAUGAAAGCUUACGAAAGCAAGUGAUUAGACAGCUACACAUAUUGAGUGCCUUGCACUGAAUUACCCGUCUAUCAUCAGAAAAACGAUCCUCAGCAUAAGAUAAAUGGGUCUGCAUGCAAGAUGAACUGAUCGCACAUAUUUGGAACAUGCACCAUCAGAUCAAAAUUGGAACGCUGUUGGAAGUGUGGUCACUAGAGGAACAGCAAGCAACAAGCCUAUUCCUAGAUCAGCACGCCACAUUCAAACUAUUCUUGGAUGACUCUGGAUAAUUCAUCCAACCUCCACCAAUACAACACCGUCAUGUGUCUUAUAGUCAUUACAAGAGGUAUCACACAACAUUGAAAUAUUCAAACGCUCACAUCAAAACUUGAAAAAAUAAAAGAGGCUACAGGAGAAAGAAUAAUUCAAACAAUGAACUUGCACACCUACUCGAUUCUGCCUGUGUUUAUAUUAGUAGUACUUCAUCAUCUGAAUAUAUAAUUCACAACUUUCAGCAAAAAGUUAUCUUAUAUUCCACAUAGAUACUCAAAAAUGGCAAAGCUUGCCAAAUCAAAGGGGAACAUCACAAAACACUGACACGAUCCACAGAAUAGAACAAAAGAAGAAGAAAGUAGACAAAAGGAGGCGAAAACAGUUAAAGUAAGACCGCCAUGUUAUACCAAGUAAUCAGAAAUAAAAAUCUUCCACUUAAUUAAUCACAUCAAGAAGAAUAAGAAGAAGAUAGAAGAAAAACUUCACCUUUCUUCUCUGACCUGGCUGCAUCCUAUCGCAGGAGCCUCACCGACCACCGAAACACAUCGAACGGUCUCUACCUUAGCUGCCGCUAUAACCACAGCUCAAGAAGACCACCAAUCAACCAAAUAUCGAGCAAAAAUCCCACCUUUACAAGCCUCUGGGGACAGAACUCGGGAAAAAAAUCCAAAGAUUGACGAAAAGCUAAGACUUUUGAGAUCAAAAGAGAUACGCCAACUAGGUAGAGAUGCUGGAAACUCGAUAUAAUCUCCUGAAACAAAGACGGACAGCCCAUCAGCAGAAGAAAAGCCGGAGAUUCGACAAAGAAGGCAGCUGGAAGCUGCUCUCUGUUCUCUCCACCUCUCUCCUUUAAAUUAUUAUAUUCUCGAACAAACAUUUCAUUAAAAAAAGAAAAAACAAGAAUCGCACAUGGAAGCCAAGCGGAAUUCCCAUCGUAUCCUACUCCCUUUAAUCUAUUCCAGUCCAAAAGCCAAAAAAGAAAAGAAAAAAAAAAAGGAAACUUUAAUAGUAAAAAAUCUCACCUUUUCUCCCCUGAAAGCUUACAAAUUGCAACCAUAUUGAGCUCGGAAAAUCCAAAAAAGAAAGAAAUCAGACUUCUUCUCUCCGCUACAGGCGCUGAAGCAAUUUGACCAAAAAAAAUGACAAAACUGGAGGAAAAAAAAUCCAACAGAAGCGAAGGAGGAAUGAGAGGAAAAAUGGCAGAACCUUACAAGGGGAGGGGCCGACGCAGAUAUAAUAAAGGCAGUGGGACAGCGGCACAGGGCUUGCUUGUGGUAAGACAAUCCGCGGAGAAGUUUAGCGUCGCGCCAUCCGCCGCAAUGUGCGAUCGCUGAUUGGACGGCCCAAAUCGGCCGAAGUCGGAUUGGUUGCAGUUUUUCGCGGUUUAACUUACCUGAUCUUUUUCGGUGCCAUUCAAAAACGUAUAUUCGGAGAUUAAGAUUCGAAUGGUAUAAUUUCUUACGCUGGUGGUUGUUAUUGGAAAUGCAUUAGAUUCUAAAUUGAAAACUCUUUUUAAAAAUAGAAGGCAAGCUGUAGCAUUUAGUGGGAUUUUUAUUUUUCCGUACGUUGUGCUACUUUCUGAUGGGACCCACUUUAGGUGAUAGAGAAACUUACGGACAGCAUGAAUUUGGUGACAAGCACCAUUUUUACGAGAAACAGGGGCAGAAGGUUACUGUGGGAAACGGAUGGUGUGGAUGGCUUUGGACGAACCUCUUUGAUUUUAUUUUUUUUUUUUGUUGACAACUCAUAUCGACUUAAUAUAAAUAUAUCUAAAAAUAAAAUACAAUAAAUUAUGAAGCGUCCGAGAGAGCUUCUUCUCAUUAGUCUAAAAAAACUUCUAGAGUUAUUCGCCACAAAAGAUGUCAUCCAGUUCACGACUCCAUUAGCUUCUCUAUAUACAAAAGCCAGACAUUAGUCCUAUAAAAAAAAUAUUUGGAUGAGAAAAAAUUCUUUCUAUCAAUCAAAUUAGAUCAUAAUUCUAAACAGACCUAACCUCGCCGCUAUUUUUUAAAAUUAUUAUUGAUUGAAGGAUUCAUGGUAAUCUAUCGGAUAAUAUCCCUCUCAGAUUAAUUAGGAGCAACAACCUCCUUUUGUAAAUCCCUACGAGUCUUGCAGGUCCGCAGAUGAGAAGAGGGCACGACUUCUUCUCACUUUUUUAAUGAUUAAACUACUUAAAGUCUCUUUCAUUGGUUCAUUAAAGAUUGCCACGGAUCGCCACCCGAGCGUCGUCAGCCGUCAGAUGAAACAAAUGAUCCAACGGACAAUACAACACGCUCCAAUGGUGAGGAGCUUUCACUCCACCGCUAUAAAAUUGUAGCCCACUCCAUUUAAGUCCCGCGAGCUGAUUCGUUUGGAGUUUCCAAACACCACCGACUAAAGUUAGGAAAAGAUCGGAGAAUACGCAAUGGAGACCGAAGGAGCCCAGAUUAAGAAGGAAUUUGGUGGUCGGAAGGGCGGCGGCUUGAAGAAGAAGCCCCUCUCCCAAUCCAUCAAAAGCCAACCUAAACUGCCCUCAGCUCCACCCCAAGGACCGAGAUGUCGAAGAUCAAGCUUCCUACAGCUGCCGCCAAUCUAGAAUUCAACUCUUUGAUCACGAAACCCACACUACCCCUCCUACCACCAUCAAAAACAAAUCCAUCAAAAUUUAUCUUGAGAAAGUUCAGGGAUGAGGGCUCCCAAGUAAUGUACACCGUCAGAGAUGUUACAUGAGCAGAGAUAGAGUCCCAAGUGCCCCGAGCUAUCAAUAGCUCGCCUGAUGAACCAACAUAGGUGAUCUCUGCAGCCUGCACUCAGGCCCUCUCCAUGACGAGCCUUAGUGUGGAAUUGCUCUCUCUGAAUAUCCAAGCAUUUCUAGCUAGCCAAAUGUGAUAAGCUUCAUAAGUCGCCCUGAUGGCCACAUACCGGGUAUGAGGUGUACCGGACCACCUCCCGAGCGCCUGGGUAAAGAAGCUAAACUAGCGUAAAGCCUCUAGCAGUUUACAGACAACCUCCACAUCUACACAGCCCAAUCACACUGGAAUAACACGUGAUCCACAGACUUCUCCACCUCACACCUAGGAUCGAUCGGUGGAUGCUAAAUCCGCACCUGCUCAAGACGGUCCUAGUCGAUAGACAUCCCUAAGUCACCUUCCACAAGACUAAAGCAACCCUCGGGUGAAGACCAAACCUCCAAAUCCAGGCACAAUCCAGCCUCUGAGUCUACUCACUCUGGAAUAAGUCGUAGAUGUCCCUCCACAGACUCUUGGACCGUAAAAAGUACUCUAGACCCUCACAUCUAAAAUAUCGCAUCAUAGAACUGCCAAUGAAUGCACUCUCUCUGCAAAGUGAUCUCCAAAUAGAUGACCAAUCCGGAUAGAGUCCCAUCUUGUCCCACCAAGGCAGAGGAGAUCACAAACUCGAAAACCACCCACGACCUCAAUAAAGAGUGUCCACCCAAGGGUCCUCCACCAUAUCCACUCUGUGCCCAUCUCCAAUCAGCCAUCUAAUGUUGGCCAAAAUAGUAGAAACAUGCCUGUAGAUCUCCCUCCAAAUGAAGAGGCACCUCCAUCCACUAUAGAAUGCCCUAUCAGCUAUCGUAGGAAUCAUACUAGGCUAUCAUUGUUGUGGGAAUAAAGGGGCCUGGACUUAAUCCCACAUCGACUAACUAGCGGAGAGAUCUGCUCCUUAAAUGGGGGGCUAUCCCUUUCUCUUCAGAAGCGCCUUUUGCAGGGCAAAAUUAUGCGUUGGAAAGAGACUAUGUAACCUCCUUCAAAGCAGACAAUACCUCUGAGGAGAAAUAGUCGCUUCCGCUGUUUAGACCGGUGGGAGCGAGGUCGGAGGGCGACAGAUCUCCCCGUAGCACUGGACGCACGGACCGGAGGCCGAUCUCUCUUGACCUCAUCACUGGUAGCCCAUGCAGGUCCCCUUGACCUCGGCACAGACCUCCCUACUGGGGGGGCUAUGUUGUGGGAAUAAAGGGACCUGGAUUUAGUUCCACAUCGACUAAAUAGCGGAGAUGUAUGUUCCUUAAAUAGAGGGGGGCUACCUUCAGAGGCACCUUUUGCGGGGCAAAAUCGUACGUUAGAAAGAGACUAUGAAAACCCCCUUUAAAGUGGAUAAUACCUCUAAAAAAAAAACAGUCGCUUCCUCUAUUUAGACCGGUGGGGGCAAGGUCGAAGGACGGCAGAUCCUCCCGUAGCGCUAGACGUGCGGGUUGAAGGCUGAUCUUCCUUGACCUCAUCAAUCAUCACCUAACUCCAUAGUCACUGUGGUUCAAGAAACAACCCCGUGGCACGUCUGGCGACCAAAGCCUCUCUCCUCUGAGUAGAAACUAGACACCCAUCCCCCUCCUGAGUCACUGGCAAAUGACACCCCAGGCAAGAAAGUGUACCCCGUGUCCGUCACCAUACGAGCCUCACAAGAAGCUCCAGAGCGUUUGCUCAAUCCUCUGCAGCAUCGACUUCGGGACAACCGUAUUGGACAUGAGGUAGAUUAAUAUGGAGCUGAGGAUCGAUCUCACAAGGGUCGGCCUGCUCAUUAUGGAUAACGAAUCAGCUCUCCAACCCUCCAACCGCUCUAAGAUGCCCUGCACCACACUAAGGCACUCCAUCGUUCGUAGUCUCCUUCUAAUGAUGGGUACGCUCAAGUAACUCCGCAGUCACUGGUGCUCCCUCAUACCAAGGAGCUCUCUGAUGGUCUGCUUCACCCUCAGCUUGGUCUUUAGACUGAAGCAAAUGGUUGACUUGGGCAAGUUCACCUUCUGAUAUGAGGUCAUGUAAUAGUCCUCCAAAAUGCAUCUAAAAGCCAUCACGUCCCUCAUCCUCGCCUUGGCCAAAAGGAGACAGUCGUCUGCAAAGAAAAGGUGGAAUACCAGUUGAGCCCCCAAGGCUGCCACAUAGGCAUCUAUCGCUCGUUCCCGACAUGCUACCCAUAAGGCUCAGGAUAACACAUUAGCACAAAUAAUAAACAAGUAAGGGGACAGGGGACAACCUUGAUGCAGCUUAAUAGUGGAGUGGAAGAAAGAUGCUGGUGUGCCAUUGAUAAGGAUGGAGAAGGACGACACCCAUACAUAGCCUAGAAUCCAGCUGAUCCAAGCCUUGUGGAACCUGAAGCUCUCUAGGGCAUACCAGAGAAAAUCCCAACAGAUUCUGCCAUAGGCUCUCUUUAUAUUGAGCUUCACUACCAUGAAGAUUCGCUGACAUGGGGUGCGCUGCAGAUCCCACGUCAUCUUUUGGGCAAUCAGGACAUUUUCCAUGAUAUUCCAGCACCCCACAAAAACACCCUUCUCUGAGCUGAUAAGUCUAAGUAGCAAUAGCUUCAUCCUGCUCACCAUGAUCUUUGCCACCAUCUUAUACAGGAUAGAGCAAAAACUGAUCGGUCUGAAGUGGCUGGGCUCCAUUAAAUCCUAGCUCUUUGGGAUAAGGGUGAUGUAGCUUCUCAAGCAUCCAACAUUGAGGCUAUAUUGAAAAAUAGCUGGACUGUCUCCACUAUCUCUCUUUGAAUAAUGCUCCAGUAUCUCCUAAAGAAGAAUAGGAAAAGCCAUAUGGCCUUGGGGCCUUAUCCUCCACCAAGGUCCAAAUCACCCCCUUCACCUCACUCUCUAAAACCUAACGUUUUUUAUCGUCCCAACUCCAACGUCCGAGGUUGGAAAAUUGUUGGCCAUCUUCGGUCGCUGCCCUCAAUCUACCUAGAUCUGAAUAAAUAAAAUAGCACCUGUCUUAUCCUGCUCUCCUCCUCCACUCUUUGUCUAGUAUCAUCUUUCAAAGAUCAGACCAGGUUCCUUUAUCUCCUGACAAUGGUAGACUAAUGGAAGAAUUAAAUGUUCCUGUCCCCUUCUUUGAUCCAUUGGACUCUAGACUUCUGCCGCCAAAAUGCCUCUUGCUGCCGCAAAAGAGAAUGAUGCAUAGCCAACUUCUGUCGAAGGUAAGCUAGCCCCUCCUCAAAUAAGGCACCAUUGCUAUCCUCCUUUUCCUGAAGAUCAGCAAUGGAUGCUUCAACCUCCUCCAGGCGUCUGAAGAUACCACCCACCACUUCUCACUUCCAUCUUCAUAGUCUCCGCUUGGUGAGCUGUAGUUUUUGGGUGACCCUCCGCAUAGCAUCCCCUUGCAUCAGAGCCCCUCAUGCCCCCAGAUGAUGUCCCAAGACUGAGGACACGACAACCACUUCUUCUCAAACCGGAACAUGUUGUGAUAACAAGUGAUGAAGAUAGUGCUAAUCAAGAUAGGGCAAUGAUACAAUGCGAUCUGGAAAAAGUGACAAACUUGAUAGGUGGAAAAGCACUGGAUCCAACUAGCAGAAGUCGUGACCCUAUCAAUCCUCUCCCACACUUUGGCACGACCCAAUCGGUUGUUGCACUAGGUGAACCUCGGUCCUGAGAAUCCAAAAUCCACCAACAUAUUCGCUAUCAUAAAGUCACGAAACUCUCUUCUUUCUACCUUAUCCAUGUAGGCCUUGCCUCCUCUCUUCUCCAUGGCCCUCUAGAUUUAAUUGAAGUCACCAGCAACCAAGGUCGGAAUACCCUCUACAACAAGGUUAGUCACCUCUCCCCAAAGAGCCCUCCUCACUCUGUAGUCAGUAUUGGCAUACUCACCCACAAAAUCCAAGGAAGUUCAUUAGGUUUUAAAAUUAUCAUUACAACCUGCUGGGGACAGUUAUGGAAAACAUCCAUCAUGGCUACACCCUACUUCUAUAGAACAAUUAUUCCCCCAGACAAGCCCUAUGAUUUGAUGGCAUGAGAAUCCCAGGUUACUGAAACCGAUGCUAUGUUCGAAGAAGGCUAUCUCCAGAGAGUCAUAUCUCACACAAAAAAUAGAUGUCCAGGCCAUGCACUUGAAUCAGUCUCCUAAAUGAGGUAGUGAAGUAGGGCUUGCAGGCCCCACUGUAAUUCCACACAAGUAUUUUCAUUCAUCUACACGAGACAAAGGGGGACCCUGCUAACCGCUCAAAGUCUCCUUCCCAGAUUUCUCAUGUUGGACCAACCCACUACAAGAGGCCCCAUCCUUCAUCCCCAGUAGCAGAGCUAACUUUGCCCUCCUCACCACUAUAGUGUGUUCCCCCAUAACGGUGGGAGAAGGUUGGUCCGACUGCCCCCCAACCAGUCCACACCCACUAGUUACCUCCCUGUCGGCUUGCUCUAUCGCCGCCGACCACCAAUCUAGCUCCAACACCUCUUGGACCACUAGUUUGCCACCCACGGAAGGGGCCAACCCCAAUGAGACCCCAGAAAUCAGAGUAGAAGCCUCGAGCAAUGCUAGAGGAGAGCCAAGGUUCACCGAAAACAAAGGCUCGGUUGCCAAAGUUGUCCUCGAUGCCUCCACGAAGGAUGAAGCCUUGCUCGGCUCCCACUCGCCACUAGGGCCCUGCCCGCGCUCCUUAACAAGCUCGACCACUCGGGGCACGCUAGACCCAGUAGUCGAAACAACCCGAUUCGUGCCAUAGGACCAACCCAAGCUCUCGCGCGCAGGCCCACGCCUGCCCCUUCGAUCACUAGGCUUCUGGGCCUCUUGAGGUUUGCGUGGCCCAAGCCCACAUCCACCAUCACGACUUCUGGGCUAGCUUGCACGUUGCCUGGCCCAGCCUCGCCAGCCUCCUCAGCCGAGUCAGCCAAAUCACUUAGUGGAUCGAACCCUGACCCGGUUCGAAGCCCUGCCCGAGUCGCCUCAAGGCUCGGUCAACACCACUUCGCCCACCCAAUCCUUUGGGGGUGAAUACCGGCACACAACCUUCACCAGCUUCUGGCAACCAUCUGAGUCCGGCGGCAAGCCAAGGGAGCUUGGACGGUUGGGAGGAGAGAUCGGCCAUGAAGAUGAUGAACCUGACCCUGAUGAUUCUGGGGUUGACUUGGUCAUCUUCUUUGACUAUGGCGGCCCCUUCAUAUCCCUUAGCGGUCGAAUCUUUGUAGUCGCUAGCCAAAGGCCAAAAAUUGGCCUCCAAGCAAGCUCAUCAGAGCUGGAAUUAGGUUCGUCAUGGACCCCCUGGUCUCCAGUCGCCUCCACCACCAUGGGAGCCGGCGACCUCGAACGCUCCAGUGGAUCCUUGACCUCCGGCACCAAAAACUUGCAAUUAUUGCCCGCAAUGGUAGCAGAAAUCUGAGACAUUUUUGUAGACGAAUGGAUCCCAUAAGACCCCAUUUCUUCCCUUGAUUUGGAUACAUGGCGCUAAUGACUCAGUGGCAUCGAUGGCCACCUUAACCCUUGCGAACCCCAUCUUCCUCUACUGGUCGCUGAUGCCAUCAAAGACCUGUAGAUGACCUACUACAGAAGCGAUCUAUAAGAUCGUCUCCUUCUCCUAGAAUUCCACCGAGAGUUUCGGCAUCUGAAGCUACACCAACAUCGAUUUGACGACGUUCCAGCCCAGAACAUAGUCGAGAGCCUAUGGCUCCAUCGCUAGCAAUUGCCCUGCCACCACCUAAGGGUUGCCAGAGAGGGCUUUGUCUCGGUUAGCCUCCGAUUUGAAUGUCACCGCUAUAUGGUCGUUAGCAAGAGGAAAAACCUCUACCUCGUACUAAAGCUUCCCGCGCGCCACCACCUCUCGAGCCACCCACUCCGCUGGAACAUGACGGCCCAAGCUCUUGAUGAUAACUACCAAGUUUCUUCCAAACCUAAAAGAUCUUAUUGCAAUAAAAUCAAGCUUUAUAAUUGCAAUUUAAGAGAGCACCAUGUUGCCAGAAUUUGUAGCAAUGUGGCAAGUUGUUUAAAAAGCAACAUCUAAAGCAUCAACAACUAAUUUGGUUAUAACUAAGGUAGCGAAGAAAAAUGAAGUAAAUAGGGGAUCCAGGGGUCCAGGAGUGCUGGUGGGGAGAUGCGACUACCACAUGACAUUCGCCGCCUGUUAGGUGAAUGCGCUUCCCACAAAGCUACUCAUGUUUACAGAGAGGCCAACAGUGCAGCUGAUUGGGUGGCCUCCUAUGCGGCUCAUCACUCAAGCGAGUUUGUUUGGGUGGACCAAGUUCUGUCUUCCUUGCAGUCUCUUUUACAUUCUGAAUCUUUGGGUGACACUCACACCCGUUGUAUGUGAGUCGCCGAUAUACCAAAAAAAAUGAAGUAAAUGAAAAACCUUCAACAAAGUGGAGCAAUAUAUAUAGAGAGAGAGAUAUGAAGAUGGCAUCAUGGAAUUAGGCAUCUUGAUGCUAUACAACAUGAGCUAUUUUUGAUGUGUUUGUUCCUCCAUACCAUGCAUAUUUAUCCAUGCCUGUGCCUCUCAAACUGGGCUCGGGUAUGUCAUUGACCUGACCCAAGCCCGGCCCAAAUCCGAGUUUGAACAGGACCCAAAAUGGAGCCGGAAUUUUGUCUCGAAUCAAUUUGUUUUUGUAUGUUGUUAUAUAGAGAAGAUAAUAAGAAAGUAAAUAAUAAAUUAAAAUAAGUUUAGCUGAGAUUAAUAUAUUAUGUGUCAUUUACUUGUAUUAUAGAAGAAAACCUAAUUUUUAAUUAGCUUAUUUACUUGUAAAGCAAUAUUAUGAAAUAUUAAACUUCAAUCGGGUUUGAGUCGGGUUUGGGCCAGAAUUAUCCAAAAAUUUUCAGGCCUAAGCGUGGCUCGAAGCCUGAAAAAAAUAGUUCAAAUUUGGAUAGGGCAUGCUCCAGCCCGAAUCACUUGUAGCCCUAAGCUGAAUGCAUGUAGAGCUUAUAGGAUUGAGUAUUAAAAAAAAGAGAGUUUAGAUUCAAGGCCUCACCUGGAUCAGCUCUAAAUGCGUAGAACAUGAAGCGGUCCCUAACAGGAGCAUUUGGAGAAAGAAAAAUAGUUAUAGUAUAAAAGAACCAAUAAUACUCAAGAUUGCAAAAUUAAUAUAUUGGCUCUUUAAAGCCGGUAAUCAUAAAAUUUAGAAGACCAUUUAUGCAUAUUCUAAAAAUAAAAUCUGGAACCUUGUAUAGCUAAAUAGUUCCUUUUCUAUGGCAUAUCAAUGAAAAACAAUCUAACCAUACAAGAAAAAUAUCCUAAUACAAAUAUAAAUUUAUUGCGAUACGCACAAGAAAAUAUAUAUUUUGGAAGUUUCUUUAAUUUAGAAAAAUUGAAUAUAUAUGUAUAUAUAUUAUAUAAUUAUUUGCUUUUUAAAAUUUAUAAAUAUUAUAUAAAAUUAAAUAGAGUUAUAAAUAAAAUUAUAUUUUUAAAUAAAAAUUGGAUGGUUGUUUAUUUAUAUUUAUAUCCAUUAAAAUAGAUAUAGAUAUAAAUAUUAAAAUGAAUUGGAAACUCAAAUUUUUAUCCCCAUCGUACCAGUCACGCGCUUUGCACGCGCGUACAAAUACAAUUACGACGCUAUCACUAUCAGCCCCGUGGGCUCCAAACAGACUCCGCAGCUUCGAUCGCAGUAGGUUGCCUUCCCCCUUCCGCUCUUUCAAACCCUAACUCCCAAAAUUUUGAAAGCAACCAGAGAUCACAAGGUUUUCGUCACCUUUUUGUCCCGCAGGAGGCGAGAUAAGGAAGGAGGAGGCGAGUUGAGGGGAGAUGGGCGGCGGCGGUGUAGAUCACCACCAUGGUGGCGCGCAUGGCGCGGAGGACUUCCGGACCAAGGUGUGGAGCAUGACGGGCGGGCCCUACUGCCGCCCCAAACACUGGAAACGGAACACCGCCAUCGCCAUGUUCGGCAUCUUCCUUGUUUGCAUCCCCAUCGCCAUGAAGUCCGCCGAGCUCGAGGUUCUUCCCCUUUCUUCUUCUCCUACGUUUUUUUUAAUUUCUUGAUCUAGGGCAUCAUCCGUGAAUAAAUCCGAUUUACUGGCAUUGUUCAUGAUCUUUCCCUCUCUAAGAUGGGAUUAUUUGGGGCAUUUCUUGUUAAAGUUUUUAUCUUUUGAUUGGACUAUAGCCUGGGGGGUAGCAAUCUGAUAAAAAAAGACCCUUUUUUUCCAUUCAAGGAUAUUUAAUUGUCUAAAAACAUUACCUGACUAUGUUACUGGGUUGGACAUUUCUGGUUCUAUUCAAACUCGAAUAACGUAAUGAAGUUCUUCCAGCACCCCCACCACGCCACCAAAAGUGGGCAUUUUAGUGUGUUGUCAUGUUAAAUCUCGGUUCUGAUAAAUGGAGAGGAUUCGUCUAGGGUACCCGUUGAAGCUUAUAACUUGUGGCCGGUCAAGACACCGGCUCAAGUGUGGGGAUAUUGAAACACCUGACAAGACUAAUCAUGUAUGAUUCUUCAAUAUUCAAGUGCUGAUUUUCCUGUUACAUUUGACAGUAAACCUUAUCUUAUUGUUAUUAGCCUUCUGUGCGAUGAGUUUGGGUAUGAGAAAUACUCUAGACAACUUUCAUGAACAUGAGGGUAAAGAGUUAUGAUGCCAAAGAUUGGGAAAAUAUCUUAUUGAAAAAGAAAGAAAAAAGAAUGGGACAAUGAGUCCUACAUAAUGAAUAUAAAUUAGACAGAUAAAUUUAAGAUGUCAAGUUGGGAACUGGCAUUCAGACUUUCUUGUAUUCUGACAGAUCAUCCAAUACAGAAGACAGGAAUGCUUUGUUGGUGGAGAUCUAUAUAUCUAGUUUUUAAGAAAUAGGAAAUAUUUUUUUUUAUAAUUUGUACACUUAAUUCUGCUUGUUUGGUUAGACAAACAUGGAGUCAUUGAAAUAUUAUUAAUUUUGCUUCAAACCCUGUUGACUUUAUCGUAGGGAGGUUUUAGGGAUGAAUGGAUUAGCAAACUUAAGGUGAAGUGUAUACAAAUUUAAUAAAAAAAUAUAGUCUCGACUUUUAACUUUUUACCCUUUAUCCUACCAUAUGUUAACAGGAAAAGAGAAACAAAAAUGACAAAGCCAGUCCCAAACAAAUGGUCUUAUAUGGAGAGGACCUCUAAGUCUAGAAGGUGUGAUAAAAUGGUUAGAAAGAUCGCCUACAAAUUAUACUAACAUUUCCGACUUAUGCCGGCAAUUAACUGGGGGCAGUCUGGGUAUUUGAGAAAAAAAUUAUAAGAAACAUUUUUUAAUAAUUUUUGGCAACUUGCAGAAUAUGUAUCUAAUUUCUAAGAUAUUCUGAACUUCUUAUUUUUAUUUUGCAGAAUAUAUCUUAUCCUUGAGAUAUUUCAAAAUUACCUUUAAAUUUUUGUUUGAAUCAUGACUUUGAUUAUGCUAGCAAUAUAAGCAAACAUCGUUUGAUGCAAGGUUCGCCGUACCGGUACCGAUAGGCAUACCGGUCGCCUACUAGACCGGUAUGGUUCCGGUUCGUACCGGUUUAAAUCGGUACCNNNNNNNNNNNNNNNNNNNNNNNNNNNNNNNNNNNNNNNNNNNNNNNNNNNNNNNNNNNNNNNNNNNNNNNNNNNNNNNNNNNNNNNNNNNNNNNNNNNNNNNNNNNNNNNNNNNNNNNNNNNNNNNNNNNNNNNNNNNNNNNNNNNNNNNNNNNNNNNNNNNNNNNNNNNNNNNNNNNNNNNNNNNNNNNNNNNNNNNNNNNNNNNNNNNNNNNNNNNNNNNNNNNNNNNNNNNNNNNNNNNNNNNNNNNNNNNNNNNNNNNNNNNNNNNNNNNNNNNNNNNNNNNNNNNNNNNNNNNNNNNNNNNNNNNNNNNNNNNNNNNNNNNNNNNNNNNNNNNNNNNNNNNNNNNNNNNNNNNNNNNNNNNNNNNNNNNNNNNNNNNNNNNNNNNNNNNNNNNNNNNNNNNNNNNNNNNNNNNNNNNNNNNNNNNNNNNNNNNNNNNNNNNNNNNNNNNNNNNNNNNNNNNNNNNNNNNNNNNNNNNNNNNNNNNNNNNNNNNNNNNNNNNNNNNNNNNNNNNNNNNNNNNNNNNNNNNNNNNNNNNNNNNNNNNNNNNNNNNNNNNNNNNNNNNNNNNNNNNNNNNNNNNNNNNNNNNNNNNNNNNNNNNNNNNNNNNNNNNNNNNNNNNNNNNNNNNNNNGAUGUUCGUGCAAUCCGAAAUCUGGGGACGCGGCCUCGGCCUCCGCCGGGCCCUCGCGGGCUCUUCCGCCCCCCUGCUGGCUCCGCUGCCCCCCCUCGGCCUCUGCUGGCCUCUCGCGGCCCUCCGCGGGCGGCGAAGGCCUCUCCUCCCUCCCUUUCUUUUCCGCUUUCUCUCUCUCCUCUUCGUCUUCUCCGGCUCUGACUGGGUUCGGCUCGUACCGAUUUCCAUGGCUCCGGCCUACCAGUUACACACCGGAUUGUAUUACAAAUGCCUGUUCCACUGGUACCUUACUAUUUUCAAUAUAUCUCCACAUUUUGUAAAUUCUUUAGUGAACAAGCUAGCUAGCUUCAUAAUUAAAUCUUUUCCCAAUCUCUAACAACAACAAAAAACCCAUCUUUUAACAUGCUGAAACUGGAGCAUCACUUAUUUGAAAGAGAUUAGCAAUGCAGGUAACUAGAUGCCAAUUAAUCUUAUUAUUUAUCCAUAUAGCUUUUUCAAUUUGUAUUUAGACUUGAAAUUCGAAACUGUCAACCUAUCUUUGUAUGUGGGAAGGGCUUGAACUUUCUAAGGUGUCCUUACACUGGUUAACACCAUCCUUCUCGAAUAAGACCUUCACAAGUAUAGUCAGUGAUUUAUGCAACUGUUUGAAUGUUUAAUAUAUAGGCGGACUAAGUAGAAUUAUCUUUCUAGACCAUCUAAUUAUGUAUAUAUGAGUUUAAGACAUGCUUCAAGGUUUUAAGUUCUAGUGGGAUGGGGUAAGUCCCAGCCGUCCUAUCUCGUUCUUGCAAGAAAACGAGAUUGGGACAAGGUCGGAACUCCGAAACUCAUCCACGUGGGGAGAGAAGAAGAAAGAGGAAAGAAAGAACGGAAAGAAAGUUAAAGAAAAGGAAAAAGUGAAAAGGAAAUAAGAAGAAGAAAAGGAAGGAAAUAAAGAAAGUGAUGAGAAAAAGAAAGAAAGGAAGAGAUGAGAAAAAGAAAGAAAGGAAAGAGAAAAAAGAAGAAAAGGAAAUAAUAAAUAAAGGAGGGAUAAAAAAUUAAAAAAAAUGAAAGGAAUAAAAGGAAGGUAGAAGGAAAAGAAAGAAAGAAAGGAAGGUAGAAGGAGAAAAAAGAAAGGAAGGAAGAAAAAGAAUGAAAGAAAGAAAGGAACGAAGAAGGGGAGAGAGAUGAAGGAUAUCCACCGGGAUGCAUGACUGGGACCGUUGUCGGGAUGGUGCCGGAUAUUUUGUUCCAUGGAGAAAUAAUGACACACCCAUCCCACGGGAUUUAAAAUUUUGACAUGCUUGAUGUCUAAUAGUCAUCGAUCCAAGUUAAUUGACCUUCUCAGAAACCUUUCAGGUUAGUAAGAAUAUUAAAGUUCCGCAAGAAACCACCUGUCGUGCUGCCACCCCCAACUAAAAAAGAAAAAACUAUAGUUUUGCUUAUCUACCUUUAUUUGGUGGCCAUAUUUUUUUUAAUAUUGGCGAACACCAUUAAGCAUCUAAUAUUUGUCUUGGGUUGUAAACAUCUUAAUAUGUCAUUAAAAUUUUAUCCAUAAUUUUUGGAUAAUUAUAUUUGAUUGUCAACAACUAAAUAACCAACUAUUAGAACAAAGCAAAAUAAAUAUUCUGGAAGGGUCUUGCACCUUAAGUAUAUUUAGCCACUUUGUUCCAAACAUUCAUCUUUAUCAAUGGCUCUCUCAUUGAAAGCUACUAUAUACAAUGAUUUAGUAUAUUUUCUUCUUAAUGGUGUUAAGCCCCAGCUUACUUUAUAAUUUGUCCCAUAUCCCAUUGCCCUUAUGAAUUGCUCAAUUUCUUACUAUCACUAUUGUGUUUAGUCUUUGGCCUACAGAUUUCCAUAGUAUAGUCGUGUAUUUAUUUUCUUUUUCUCACAUAACUUAGAGGCCUCACCACAUCCCUAAUAUGUGGCCCGAUAUCAUGAAAGGCAUUAUUAUUGUUUUAUCAUAAUACAGUCCUUAUGAUAUUGUCCAGCCAUUUGCUAGUUCAGCGUGACAUUAAGCAGGCUUUGCCCUAGCCAAUAUGCGUAGAGUAUUCUUGCACGAAAAACAACUGUUUUGGCACUUCCAUCACCAUUUUACCUCACGAUGCACCCAAAAGCACAAGGAGUAUCUCAUUUGCUUUAGGGCCCAUUCUUUGGUGGGUAAAUAUCAUGGGAAAGUUGGUUAACUUUUCCAUUAAGCAACCCAUGUUCUCAUGCUUCUCUAGCUAAGUAGUUUUCCAUGGGUAGCAUUUAUCCAUAAAAUGGGUGAAAGUUUUACCCACCUAGGGGUGGGUAAGUCAUUUUUCCAUCAGUCAUUUUUCUAUAAAAUGGAUACAUCUUAACAAGUUAGCCAGGAAAGUAGUAAUGUGAAAGAACAUGGGUAACAGAUUCCGAGGCAAUUUUUCAAUGCAUAAAAGAAUAUGGGUGAAUUAUUUUUUUGUCUAAAAUAUUUAUCUAUUAAAAUAUAGUCUCGGGUAAGUUUUUACCCUCCAAAGAACGGGCUCUUAAAGUGAAAUGUAUAGUCGCUGAGUGUACGGCCUAUCAUUAGCAAUUGAAUUUAAACAUAAAUAGAUAGUCUAUCUUAUGACUUCAGUACGCGCACAAAUCAGCAUUCCCAUCUCUUUUGCAUCUUCUCUUGAUCCAUGAUUGACCUGGUGGACCAACUUUGGUUGCUCUUGAUCUCAAUAAAACUGGUUCAAUCAUUGGAUGUUGCAAGUAAAAUGAGUUAGACAUUGGCAUUGUUGACUUAACUACUCUAUAGAUGCUUCAUGGUUGACAAAAUCCUAGAUAUGAUCCUAUAGGUUCUUUAUGAAAUUGAUGAUUUUAUGUGCAUUAUUGAACAUCAAUAGUCUCUAAGGAGCUUUUUGUUAUUGCCCUAUCAACUCAUAACCAUAGCCAUUACCAUCUAGCCUUAUCCCAACUAUUUGGGUUUAGCCUUAAGGAUUCUGAUUCAUUAAAAUUCCUAUUUAGGGCCACCAUUGAUGUUAUUUCAAGGUUGUCAUAGGUGAUCAGCAAGAUUGUCUCGCCUAAGAGCUUGGGCAACCCUAUCGCCUAAGUGCUAAGCGUUUUCCAGGUACUAGGCAUGAAAAUUACGUAGACACCUAAGCUGGUGCCUAGAUGGGUGCCUGGUCACCUAUAGGCCCUUUUCCUAUAGGAUGAAAGUAUAUUCAUGAUAUUAUUGAUCACUUUGUUUACUAUGUAGCAAGGUGGAGCAUAUUUAAUGAGCAUUGGAGUGUAUUUAUCAAAAUAUGUAUCAAAGUACUUUAAAGAUUGUUUCAUUUCUUGAUUCUAGACAUUUAUACUUGGUGUUCCCUCAUCCAUCUAAUGACAAUCCCCCAUCUAUUUGUCCUCUCUUAGCUAUUUUUGGUUGUCAACAUGUUCUUGAAGAUUUUGGUUGAUGUUAAAUCACGUUAUGAAUAGCUUAAGUAGUUAACAAACAAGCUUUUACCAAUAUGACGUGUGCUUCCUAUGAACUAAAUAUACGCAUUUGUCAUAACUUGAAAAUUAAUGAAUUUUUGGGCAUCUUUUUGUCUCCAGGUGCUUGCCUAGUGUAUUGACAACCUUGAUUUCAACCUUUUGGAUAUCUUUGCCCCCAACAACUUAACACUUGUGUUACCUCAAGUUUUGCAUCCUUUUCUCAUAUCCUUCAAUAUGAAUUGAAGUAUCCCUUCUUAUUGAGGCCCCCUCAAAUCUUUGUUCUACAUGCUCGUACCAUUUCAACCGAUCCUUUACUACUUUGUAAUUUGUGUAAUGCUUAUAAUUCCUGUAUUCUCAAUUCUCACUCUUUCCUUGCUGAUUUUAGUACAAAUCCAUCUUGACAUUUUCAUUUUUGCAGCACUUGUUUUCUUGGCCCCUUUUUAUUGCGAACAUUUGAGCCAUACAACAUUGGGGCCUUAUCAUCAUUUAUUUUUUAACUAAAUUGCAAUUUCAUGUACUUUAUGUUUGUUUCUUGAGUUUUUAAGUCCUUAUUAUUUAAAUGUUUCUUUCGUAAAUCCAAUUUAUCAUUUAACCUUGUUCUUUUCUCAUCAAUCAAUAUUAUGCCAUCUGCAAACAACAUAUAUCAUGAUACAAUUUCCUUAAUAUUAUCUGUGUGGUCUUUUAUAAUUAGUGUAAAAGGAUACAAAUUAGUGCUCAUUCUUGACGCAAGCAUAAUGUGACUGGAAAUACGCUAGACGAUCCUCAAACAUACAUGUCCUCAAUGAUUUUAAUGUGUCUUGUAUGUAUAUCCUUUUUAAAGACCAUCAAGUAAACUUUCUUGGUACCAUAUCAUAAGCUUUCUCCAAGUCAGUAAAGACCGCACAUAAAUAUUUCUCUUUGCUACAUAUCUUUCUGUCAAUUGCCUAUUUAUUGUUGACCUUGCUAUUAUAAAUCCAAAUGGUUUCUUUAAGAUCAUCAUGAUCUCUCUUAAUCUUUGCUCAAUUACCCUUUACAAUAACUUUAUAAGUUUGAUUCUCUGACAUUUAGAGCAAUUCUGUGCAUCAAUGUUAUUCUUAUAGAUUGAUAUUGCAGUACUUCUCCAAUCAUCGAUUAUCCUAUUGGUUUCCAAAACCGCAUUAGAUGUUAGUAAGCUAACCUAAUGUAGCACAUGAUUUUCCAAACUGCAUUAGGCAAAUCAUCUAGAUCUAAUGCCUCACCCUUUUGCAUUCUUUUCAAAUCUAUCUGCACUUCAACUUCAUGAGUUGUACUAAUAGAACCUAGAUAACCCCCUAAUUUUACCUUUUCAAUACAAAUUUUUUUAGUGGAAUCCUAAUUUAAUAAAUUUUAAAAAUAAAUAUCCUGAUUGUUCUUUAAUUUCAUCGUCUUUCACCAAAUUUCUUUUAUCCUCGCUCCUAAUGCAUUGAUUAAUAUAUUUAGAUAAUUCACUUAUUUUAGUUAUUUUAUGAAUUUCAUUCUUAUCUUCUCUUGAAGCCAAUUUAUGGUAUAACUUAUUAUACCCUGCAUAUUUAGUCUUACUAACCAUUUUUCUCUAUCUACCCUCUUAAUGCAAUUGGCUACUGAUCUUGCAAUCUAUGCAGUUCAGUGGAUCAACCCAUUUAGAAUAUGUCUCUUGUUGAGUCCAGGCUGAAACUGUCCCAUCUGAUGAUUCAUAUACACUUAAGGGGCCUGGUUUCAUCUGUGGGACAUGCCAUUCUUUUGCCAUCUGAUCUGUGUUAGCCUUUAGCUCCUUGGUCAUGUUGGGAUAUCUUACCCACUCAUGUUAGAAGCAUCUUGUUAGCUUAAAUAAGAAAUUUAUUUGUCCCAAAAUAAUUAAAAUAAGUUGAUAAAAUAAUGCCUCCAUGCACAUCAUGCAUCCCAAAGAACUAAUUGGAAUUACUAUGCACUGCUAUUAGUAGUGCAUCAGGCUAGUAAUUUGGAGUAAAGCAUGCCAGUAUUUUUACUGAUGCACUUUCGGAGGACUGCCCAAUGAGGAUCGAGGAAAGCAAAAUAGUGGCAACAUCUAUGUUCUUGCAACCUGAGAGAUCAUUUGGUUAGAGUGCUCAGCCAAGUUUAGACUCUAUGUUUGGCUGUUCUGGAGGUUCCGUAUAAAUUCUUUCUCCCUUCUUUAAAAUAUUAUUUUAAGACAAAAGGGGUGUGAACUUUGUUAUGGAAGAUUUCAAUCUGUGCUUGUUGUUUCAUCAAAAUUCAGGGCUACCUGAACGCAUUGUUGUAUUUUUGGCACUUAAAGAUUUGAGAUGCGCAUGCAUAAUACAUUGUAAAGCAACUGUUUUGAGGAUGUCUUAGGAGUGACAUGCCAAUGUCUGAGACGAUUCAGGAUUUGUUUCUACUUAGUUAUCCUUAAUUAAAAACUUAUAAGGAAAACAAAAUUUUGCUAACAUUGGGGAAGCUACAGCAGCUGCAGCUAGCAUGCAUGAAAAGCUUUUAGCAAUUAAUAACUUAAGAAGAGAUGACAUAACACUGCUCUUUUUUAAUGCGGAGAUGUAAUGCUUCUGUAGGUUUGCUCCUUUUUUUCGGUUCAUAUAAAUAUAUAAGCUACCCUGUUGACAUUGUUGAUGUCAAAAUGUCUGUCCAGUGGAAGCUACCCUUUUCUGUUUGGCGAGGGAGGUGUUGGGCGGGUGGCUGGAUACAGUUGCUUUUGGAUCAAUCCCUUUUACUAAAAAUAAUAAACAAGGUACACAAUAGUGGAAACUGCUAAAGAAAUCCCACCAAAAAAGGGACCAGUAUUACAAAAAUUAAACAGGACCUGCAGGGGAAAUAUGCAAGACAUCCUGGAUAAAUAUUUGUCAAGAUCUUCUGAAUAGCAACUAGGCAUGAUUUAAUUAAUUUGUCUUCCCAUGCUUCCACCAAUCUUCAUGUGCAUACAACCAUACAACCUUGGCCCGCUCGUUAUCAUAAGUUUCACAUGCAUUCUGCUGUUUCCCAUUCUGUCACCACGGUGUGAGGAAUCUAAAUUAAUGAAUUUAAUCAAAAUCCAAAGAAAUCCUAUGUGAUGCUUGGGAGCGUGAUAAUGGGUUUCCUGACAACUACAGCUUUAGGUUUUGUUAGGCGCUAUGGUAUUUGACGUAUGUGGGAAUAUCUUGCUGCUGAAAUUAGUUCUUUUGGUAGGAGACUUUUCUUUCCCUCCUUUCCCAAAAAGCCAUCUUAAGGGUAAAAUUUGUUUGUUUGCAGAGAUGUUAAAUGGAUCCAAGAUCGUGCUAUUUCCUUUUGUGCAAAAAGUCUUUACAUCUCACUUUAUUUAAAACCUAUGUUUCCAUUCCACAUCUUGUUAAUAUUCUUCAAUCAUUUGUUACUCUACUGGCUGUCAGUUCUAGAACUUUCAGUUUUUGUGAUGUACUAAGCUCUCGGGUUUCCCUUUUACUUGCAGCAACGGCCUCACCAUCCAGUUCGUCCCAUACCUUCACAGCUUUGGUGCAAAAACUUUGGUAAUAAAGAGUAUUGAUUUGUUAGUCUGGUGAAACUUCCAUGGUUGGGAUGCUAUCCCUUUUUGUGUGAUCGUUGUAUUAUGUGCAAUUCGGCACCUAAUGCUGGAAUAAGGAUGCAGCUAAUACAUAAUGUGUUUAUUUGUGCUUGUUUUGAACAUUUGGUGCCGGUGGUAGUAGUUACAGAACGAAUAAGAAAGUUGUGCUUCUUUUGCAUGGCAAUAAAUUAAAGGGAGUUCAUGCUUCAUUUAUUUGUGCUGAAAAAUUGUUGCUGGAGUUGGUUCAUUCAUUGGAGAUUGCAAAUGUGCAAAAAGUCUCUACAUCAUGCAUGUAUUAUGUGUUUAGAAUAUCUUUUUAAAAGCUUCGUGUUUUCCUCUAGAUUGCAACGUCUUCCAUGAUUUAUUAUAGUUCCUUCUGUGGCCAGUUUCAAGGGAGUAACAUCCUGGAGUUAACAAAGUCUUUCAUGAUUUAGGAUGGUUUUUGUGGCCAGUUUUCAGGGAGCUAAAUCUAACAGAACUUGGAUUGGUUCUUUUCACAAUCAUGUAUAAUGCAAGAUUGCUGUUUUUGUUCUAUUCUCUUAGAGCAUCACAUCUUUUAAGAUUUAGAGUUAAAUGAAAAUUCAGUUACCUGCAAUAUUUGUAGAUCAGCAGCGGUGAGCAUGCGAUUGGAUCAUGUCGUGCAUAACAUUGCCAAGAAUAGACCACGUUGAUUAGAUCCAAAGGUCAAGCCUCCUUCUAACAUGACCUAGAAUUUUUAUGCAAAAAACAGAAACGAUGGUGCAAGUAAUGAUGCAACCACGAGCAGUUUUAGAAUAUUCAUGAUGAAGAGGAUUGCUAACUACUCGAUUUGAAAAGAGGUAAAAGGACCUCAGCUGGAAAGGUAGGAAAUCCGAGAUCUUUUGGAUGUGCGAGAGGAGUUCUGUCAAGACAACGAAAACAUCGGUUUAAUUAAAGUACCAGAAUCGAAAAAAAUCCUUUUUUUCAGUUUAUUUAUACUGGUUUUAAUCUGAUUAUAAGCAGAUCAGAUUCAUUUAGCCUGACCUGCAUUUAGGGAGGCUCUACCCCUUGCCUGCAAUGAAUGGGAGCUUCUAUAAACUCUGAAUGUAUCACAUUUUCGUAUGAUGUAAUGUUGUGGGAUACUCAACCACAGCAUGGUUGCAUCCAGUGCUGAUCCUGUCCGCGUUGAUAACAAUACUUGCGGCAUGGAAGAAAUAUUAAGGGAGAGUAGCCCCGACACCUUUUUACUCCAAUUACGUGUGCCACCAGUACAAAAGUGAUGAUCGAAUUCACACACGUCCACACGAACGAACUUCAACAAGGUGGGCAUAGUCACAAACCAGUGCAAAAAAAUAUUUCGGCCACAAACAUGAAGAAAAUGGUAUGGAUUGUACAAAAUAGAACCAGGAGUAGAAGCAAGAGAUAAUGGCAGCCAAAAAAGUUUAUUGCGGCCAAAAUUAUGCACUAUUGGAUACCAGGGUUCUACAAGUGCCCCACAAGAUCAUUGAAUGCAUAACCUCGGGUAAUGUUGCUGCAUCUUAGCAAUCAGGAUUACUUCACUUGACACAGGCUAAUUACGGGCAAUGCUAGCAAUUUCACAGCUGCAACCUUCCUACGGAAGUGAUAAUUUGAUACUUUUUUCUUUACCUGUCCGAUAAUGUAGAAAGGACUCAUAAUAGCUGCCUGGGGAGUGUAAAAUCUCUCAUAUGGCUACAAGCCCAUUAUGUAACAAAAUAUGCAUUUGAUUUUUUUUUUUCUUAAGCUGGAUAGUAUAUUAUUGCUUUUCUAUAUUGAACCUCGGUUCUUUUUUUUCUUUUGCGAUGUGCUUACAAAUUUUACAAAAUAUUGAUCAAAAACACAGAAAAGAUAUGCAUUUUACACGAAUAAAUGAUUAUAUGUCCCUUCUGCUUUUACUACAUUGAGACUUCAAAAAAUCAACUCCGUGUCAUCUGGACAAAGUUGCCGCAGUAAAUUCAAAAUGUGAUCAGUCAUCAAUCAAAAAGCAAAAUGGUCUCUCUUUUUCCACGUCAAUCAUCAAUGUCAUGAACCCAUGAUAAAUCUGCCACAAAAAAUAGUUUUUUUUUAAAGAAUGGAUGAUCAGAGCAAUAGUUAAGAUAAUGAAAUAUCUGUUCACGUGAAGAACACGACCUUUUAAGAUAUCAUGGCCUAAACAAAAACCAAGAACAACGAACAAUUACUAUCUUUAGGUCAUCUCUUUAAAAAAUUUCAAUUGAACUCUUAUCCAUCUUCAUGAAUUUAAAGCAUACAAGGACCAUAAAGUAGCUGUUCUGUCAUUAACAUUUCCUAUGACGCAAACGUAAAAAUUUUCAUUUCCAAAGGCAUUUCUUCCCAAGUUUUAAUUCUAAAACCUCACAAAUAAAAAUGAAACAAUAUGCAUAAUUCUAGCAAGAUAUACUACCACGCUGCACACGUCGAAAAUUUAGAUGUCUAAAGCAACCACUGUUAUUGAUGACAAAAUUAAAACAAGAAUUAUAUGAGUUUCUGUUAUGCAAGAAAAGGCAACUAUUUUUCUGUAAGUCUAUAUUUAGUCUUCUACAUAUGCAUUAGUUUAUUACACUCAAAAAAUUUAACAAAUUUCAAUCAAGCAUCAUCAAUAAAUAUUUUAUAUCUAAAUGGAUGGUUAAUAAAUAAUUUGUAUUUAAAUAAAGAACAAUCUAUUUAAGUAUUGAACUCAUGUAUAUGUUGUUAAGACCCAUUGUCUUGCUAAAGCCCAUGAAAAAUGACUAUUUUUUGAACAAAAAUCUUGACUAAAUAAAGUUCAUCUUAUUAUGUUAUGAUAUUGUAAAGAUUCAGCCUAAUUUUGUGAAAAUUUGUUCAAAAUUACUAUCCACUCGCUGCUAGUGGGUUUAGGAUGAAAUCAAUGGAACAAUCAUAACUAAGACAAAACACCUCCAGAUCAAAUCACUUCCAUUGUGGAUAGGCUUGCGAUGUUCAAUGAUGAGAGUGAAAGAAUCUGAAUGUGAUGGAAACAAGUUAAUUUUAACUUGGUCCACAGCUCAAACAUUGACACAACCCAUUCAUGUGAAUGAAACCAUAUACUCAGCUGAAACUACUAAAAAGAUGAAGUUGGGGCUGAAACUCAUUUAAUACCUUCAUGGUAUUUUUAUAUACAACUUUUAAUCAUCAAAUCAAAAAUAAUAUGGUUUCACAGAAACAAAAUACUCCAAAGAAAACUGGAAAGCAUGCUAUGAUGAUCAGUUGGGGGUCCUAGGUCUAUAGAUUAAAAAAUUGAUGGUACAGUAUUUUUUUCUUAUUAUAUGUAUUAUUGAGUAAAACAUCCAUGUUCUAGUUGACGAAAAUAAUGCUUGCAAAUUUAAGAUUUUAAUACAGCUUAAACAAACCUUGCAGCACCGUUUCAACUGCUGCAUUUGGAAUAAGAAGCCCAACAAUGCGCUGAUUAUCAGUAGUAGUCUCUAAACGGACAACACGUAUCCGCUUAUGGCUUUGGCGAGCCUGUUAAAAUUGUCAAACAAUCAUUAUACAAGGAAAAAGAAAAGAAGAAAAAAAUAUACACCAAAAAUAAUGCAAAGGUCCAAUAAAGUGCUCCACCUGGAAACACCGACAGACAAAUUGAUUUAGAAUUUUAAUUCCCAAACAGAUAUCAAAUGCAUUAAUGUAUGUCACAAUCUUGCCUUACACAAGAUUAUUUCUACGGUAGUAUGUUUUUUAGUUAUCUUAAAACAGGAGUAACAUUUUUGAAUUAUGAAGAUUCACAAUAGUUGCAGGAUCAUAUAUACUGCAUUACCGAGACAUAGUAUCAAGAAAUGUAUUAGGGCUGGUAAAGGAAAUAUUAUAACAUGGUGAAGAUCUCAGUUACCUAUUAGUGAUAAGAAUAACUUUCUAGUAACAAAAAGAUUCUUACUGUUAUGAAAUAUAGUUUCACUUUUCCUCUGAACUUUUAUUUUAAAUAUGACAGGAAAGGAUUAAACUUUGCAAUCUAAACUCAGCAAAAUGAACUUUCAUUCUCCAUCCUCUUUACUCGAGCUUUUAUGUUAAAACUCACAACCUAACCUGAGGUUUUCCCACCAAUCUAAGCUACUCUCACUCUUUUAAGUACUGGGGAGGGGGACAUGUUCCCAAGACAGUUGAUAGCAAACUAUGCAGCAAUCUGGUUAAUAAGGUAAACAGUAACAGACAUCAAAUAAUCAGUUCCAUGUUUCCUAUCACUUGCAGGAAAUCAGGAGCUAACAAAAUCUUUUACUAACAAUCCAUUUAUACCAUUGUUCUAUCUUUCUCAUACCUAGUGGGGCUUUCAAGGAAACUAAAGUUGGACUCAGGAAUUUUGUUUGGGUAGUGAACCCCAUAUAGUUGGAAAAAGACUGGAUAGUUAUGGUAUUUGUUUUUGGAUAACAAGAAGAGGAAAUAGGUGAGACUUAUUCAUUAUCUUAGGCAUUUUGGAAUGAUGAUCCCUUACUUUGCUGUAAUACCAACUUAGUCCUCUUCUCAUAGAGAAUAUAUUCGCCUCCAAUAAUUUUCUGUAGCAGAUAGAUAAGCCCCAACCUCCUUUUAAGUUAUAACUCUAUUAGCCUUAAUGUACUAAAUGCCAGUUAUGCCCCCAAAUGAGUUCUUAAAAAUCUAAUUUCCCUACUACAAUUUUUUCCCUCCAUUUUUCCUACUUUCUGAACAGUGCUGCACCAUGAAAGGCUUCACCAGCUGGCCAGAUCAUAACAAAAAGGUUUUUUUUUUCUCUGCCUCUUGCCUCUUGUCCUUUUACCAAAGGGGUCCAACCAACAUUCCUCCAUGUUGCCACUGACCAUGAGUGAAAUAAAAAGUUUUGCUGGCUCACACCAUCACAAGAACCGGUUCAUCACUGUUUGUUUCCCUCUCCCUCUUUCAGUCUUUUUAAUUUAAUGCCGCCAUAGUUGCCCAUUUUUUACCAUCUCCAAACCUAGUUGAAUUUAAAUCACAAGAACAAGAACCAAUUGAUCAGUCAAAAGGCACAUGCCAUGUGAAUACUUAGUGCACACAGUGAUCUUUCCCCUUGCAGAAGAAGAUCUACUAAAAAAUGAAGUAGCUAGAUAGGAGGAAGAAACAACAAGAAAUAACCUUCAUUGAACAAUGGAGAACAAGACUAGAAAUUUUAAUCAAUUAAAUAUGCUCUUUUACCAUGGCUAGGCACCCCUAUGUAUAGUUUUAGGUCCUCUUGAACCUUUCAACAAAUAUGGCCAUAUUCAUUUCUUGCAAAUAAGGAAAAAAAAACAAGAAUAUUCCCUAUAAUAUGCCUCUUGAUAAAAUCUCUGACUCAUCUUGACAUUGGUUGAGAUAAGAUCUCUAAUUCAUCUGGACAUCACUUGAUUGGAUAUGAUCUCUGGCUCAUCUUCAUAUCUCUUGAUUGGAUAAGAUCUCCAGGAUUAUUACCUAACAUGUAGCAGCCUUCUAGAAUUGGCUUAGGCUCGAACCUAAUGUUGGACCCCCUUGUUCCUUUGGUCAAUAUCUGGCAUAUAUUGGUUCAGGUACAUGUCAGCCAAGUCCAUGACAUGCACAACAAUACAUUUAUAGUUAACUUUCAUCUCUGAGAAAAGUGAAAUAAAAAAAGAUCUUAAUUCAUAUUACCUAAAACUAUAACAUCUUGUUGAGAAUUAACACCUAAUAUUGAAAUCUCUCUCUUCAACCCUACUACACAAGCUCCAUUCUCCCCUUCCCCAUCCUCAUAAUUGUCACUUUUACCAUGUUACCAUUCUUUUGUCCUUGGAAGCCAGAAAAGAAAGGAAAGAGGCUUCCAGGUUUUGUUCUCUCUCAUUUCUUUUUUGGGGAUUGGAGGAACUGGAUGACCGAUGAUGCCCCGAUCUUAGGAGUGGUGCUAGGAUCCUUUAGUUGUAGGGGCUGAUCAAAGUACUACAUAUAGAUCAGCAAUUCUUAUGUCUAAUGAAUGUGACAAGGUUCAAGGAAAAGGAGUGUAUAAUAUUUUGGGGUAUGCAUGCUACCUGCUAUCUCAAUUUGAUAGCAAUUUUUUUAAAUUUAGGCUACACGAACCUAAGCUCAAUUUGAAUAAAUUUUUUAAAAAAGUGGUGAUUAGUGCAUAUCCAUGGACUAUAUAUAUAUAUAUAUAUAUAUAUAUAUAUAUAUAUAUAUAUANNNNNNNNNNNNNNNNNNNNAUGCUAUACUAAUUCAAAUUAAAAUUAAUUUUCUACAUAUUUUUAUAACUAAAUAUCCAUUUAUUAUUUAAAAAUUUAAAUAAAAUGUUUUAAAAUAAAAAAUCAUUAAAAAAUAGUAUUAUAUGUAGAUGAAGUAGAACUUAUUCUGACGUUCUUUAAUGAUUUUUUUGUAUUACAAUGUGAAUUCACUAUGUUUUAAUAAUUAAGUAAUUAUAAAUGUAUAUUAGAAUACCUGACGUAUUUAUCAAACUUGCAGAAAUAGAUGCAGGAAAAGAGCCGAGUUUGACAUAGGUUGGGACCAUGGUGUGAUGCUAUCGAACUAGCAUCACUAGAGGUGCAAGUGGUGCAAUGUGAAGUUUAGGAAAGGGAGAACUAACCAAGUUAAAACAACAUCAAACCAGUGCUUAUACCCUGACGUGUCAGCUUGUAGAAAAUGCCAGCAAGAGGUUUUGAUGAAAAAACAUUAUGCUGAUUUUAAGGCGAGCAAAUGAACAUCCAAAAAAUAAAGAUCAAACAUCAGGCAAUUGAGCCACCUUCAUACCACUUAAGAAUAUGAAAGACCAUAAGGCAUUGGAUCCAAACGAUAUGGAGGAAUAAGUUCAGGCUACCAUACAAGAGAGCUUGAAUACCUAGUGAUAGAGGGAGGAGAUUGCCAGGCACAAGGCUUAGUUUGGACACUUACAAUACGAGGCAGGCAGUGGUCUCGGGUCCAACAAGACAGAUCUAGGCUACAAGAGAACAUCCUCAGUUAGAAAGAUUGUCGGUAAAGGCGGCAGCAAGAAAGGAAAAAAGCCGAACAUAUUAGCAAGAGCCACCAUUCACGACAUAGAUCCACAUGCCUUUCCCAAUAGAGAUUUGAAGCAACAAAUGAUGAAUAUCACCCUUGUCAAGAAUUAAAAAUGGGACAUGAGGAGAGCUAUUGUAUUAGGGUUUUACUUUAGUCACAUCCCUGGAGAUGCGGCAAAUAAUACAUACUAUCAUCAGCUCCAUGUAGAAAGCCAGCCAGGGUGUAGAUCGUCAUGGGUCGAAGGACAUAUACAGUGAGCUAGUGGACAAUAAUAAGAAGCUCAAAAUUUCAUAGCCUCCUAGCAUAGCAAGAGGGACAACUACGACUGAUACUAAUAUGUGAUGGUUAGACAGGUCCCAACAAGCAGAACAUCAUUAAUUUCUUCAUAUAUUGUGAUAGGAAGACCUUUUACCCCAAGUCAGUUGAUGCUUCAGAUCAGAUGCCCAAUGUCAAUUACAUCCUUAAUUUGAUGAAGUUAUUCAUCAGAUAAGGGAGAAACAUGUCGUGUAGGUGGUCACAAAUAAUGGACCAUAGUAUAAGGCCGUCGCGAGACUCCGAUUAUCAGAUUGAAAUGUAUUGAAGAGGAAAUCAAAUUAAAGUACGAUGAUCUACUUCACAAUGAUUUUGUAUAUGAUGAGGAAGAUGCGAUGAUCAAUUGCUUGAGGACCGACAACAACAACUAGAAAUUGAUGAGCUAGGAUCACCUUCUCGACCGGCCUAUUUCAUAACAAUGAAGGUUGGAGUGGGUGCAAAACAAUAGGCAGAACGACAGAAGCCACUUUCACAUCCAGCCAAGCAACCAAAAAGUUGGGAGGUGGCCGGUCAACAACGUAGAAAUUCAUGUCCAAAAUGUUCUCAUAUCGCUUUGAUAGAGAUACUAAGAAGAGGCCAUCAUGGUACUCGAUCUAGUUAGGCAGGUUGGGCCACUCAAGGUGGUGGGCCAAGUCGAGCCACCUAGCAGAGCCAGGCAGGCGGGGCAACUAGGAAAAAAGCAGCUUCUCAGAUCGGCAAGAAAGGAAAAGGAAAGGAAAUUGCACUUCCAUUGCAGAUUGUAAAUGAGGAAUUUGCUCACUCUGAUUCUGGGACCAAUGAGCCGUUAGAUAACCAAUUGCCCAGAUUAUCUGACGAUACCAACAAUGAUAAGUUUUGUCCGAGCAACGAUGCAUUUGGUGGGUAGGGAGGCGGUAGAUUGGACAUGACAUGGUUGCAUAUGAUUCAAAACCCUGAUUCACCGGUGAACUACUCAUGUCAUACAAAAUAGAGACCAUAGUGCAUGACUUAGUAGAGCAUAAGAAGAUACAACUGCAUACAGAAGACGAACUUCGAGGCGAUUUGAAACAUGGCGCUGAUCCUGCAAAUAACCUUACACAGGAAAUAGGGUCCCUAGACGUAUCUAGAUUCAAGUUGUAUGCUAGAACCUAUUUCACGCAGCCAGGCUAUGACCCGCAUUGAUAUCAUUCAGUUAAAGUGUUGUAUUCGAGUGGCUACUAUAUAGUUCACAACCUCAAGCAAAUUACGGGUCGAAUUUUGCAGCCUCGAUCUUCGAAUGGUCAGUCCAGCAUUAGACAAGAGAAACAUCAUCAAGGUGGCUCUCUAGGUGGCAGAGCUUAUGGACUAUAAGAUUGGAUAGUAGAUUAUCUGGUAAGUUGGAGUAAUAUACCAGACCCAAACUAUGACCGGGAUCUCAACAUCUACGAGGGAUAUAGGCACUCAACCAAAUUUUAGAUAUCGGUACGUAUUUUGUAAUUGAAACCCAUUUGAUAUAUUGUAUGUAUUUUCAAUUAUAUGUUAAUCAUACAUUCAGUUAUGUCAUAAUUGCAUUAAUUUAUCGAUUAUAGCAUGUUUGUUGAGAAUCAAGACCUAUCUGACAUAAAGGAUAUCAAAACAACAUUGAAAUUCUAAAUUAAACAACCACAAACAUUAAAAUAAACACUGAAAAUAUUUUAAAAAAAUUGAAACAACGAAAAAUUGGACUAAACCGGCUACAUGUAUCGAGUGUCGAUACGGUACUAAACCGGGUACCAUAUCGAACCAGUCACCGAUCGGUAAGAUAUCCAGUACUGGUUCAAUGGACCUUGCCUGAGAGGAUCACCAAGAAAAGCAGCUAUUCAUAGACCCAUAGGAAAAAUGACUAAUUUAAAGUUUUACUAAUGCCAUUAGGUUGAAUCUCCAUUACAUAAAAGGUCUACCAAAGGAUACUGCACUUUCAUUGCAGGAAAUUUAGUGAAAUGGAAGAGCAAGAAGCAAGGAAUUAUGCUUAGAUCAAGUGUUGAAACCAAGUAUAGAACAAAGAGAUACACAACUUGUGAGCUUGUACGGCUAAAGACUCAUGAAAGAGUUGGACUUUGCUGUCCAUAAUCUAAUGAAAAACUAUUGUGAUAAUCAAGCAGCAAUUCAUAUUGCAAGCAAUCCUAUCUCCCAUGAGCAAAAAAAGCACAUUGAAGUGGACUGUCAUUUUAUUAGAGAAAAGGUGGAGGACAAACAGAUAUUUAAACCAAUUGUUAAGACAAGGAAUCAACUUGCUGAUGUUUUCACAAUUUCCCUGGGGCAUUCUCAACAUCACACUGUUUGUUCCAACCUGGGCAUUAGAGAUAUAUGCGCUCCAGCUUGAGGAGUACUAAAGUAUCAGUAUUUUAUUAUUAUGGGUUUUGUUUCUUAUGGGCCUUAGUUGUAAACAUACAGAGCUGAUUCUAUUUGUCUAUUUGGCCUGCCUGUUUGUAUAGGGUCAUUUUUGGAAUGCUAAAACAUGGAUGCCCUAGUUAGAUAAAAGAAAAAGAGGGUCACAUGUAAGUGAAUUUUUGUCUGCAUCUUUUCCCUACACUUCGUUCUUUUGUCUCUUUCUUUCACCCGUUUCUCUCUUCCAUCUUCUGAAGAUUAAAUCAGCAGCCUUUAUAGAUACCAUUGGUGCCAAAUAAAUGACUUUUCAGUCCUUGCCAUAACAAAUGGAAGAAAUAAAUUGAAAAGAUUGUCAGCAGCUUGGGACCGGUGGUGGCUAACAAAAGAAACAUUUAAAACCAACAAAAUAAGGUACCUUAAAGUAUUAGUUCUAAAAAGGAAGACGAAAAAUGUUAUGGUUUUACUUCAAUUUUACCUAAACAAAAAAAUGAACAGGAAAAUAUAAACAAUCAAAUACAAGUUUUUAAAUUCAGAAUAUACCAUAUUAUAUGGACCCCAUAAUCCAUGCCAAGGUACGCCGUACCAGAACUGGUAGGCGUACCAGUCGCCUGCCGGACCGGUACGGUACCGGUUUGAACCGGUACCGAACCGGCGAACAGAGGGACGCUGCAGAAGGGGAAAAAAAGAGUCUGCGGGCGCAUGCGCCCGCAUUAAAUGCCACAGAGUGGCUAAAAUGCCACUUUGUGGCAUUAAAGGCCCAGCGCCCCUGCGGACGUGCUGCCCCGAUGCAAAUCGGGCGAACCGGUUCGGUUCGCCCGGUACAGUAGAUUUACCACUCAGUUCCGGCCCCUUCAGCCAAACCAGACCAGUUAGGGACCGGACCGGUCCGGUACGGGCUGAACCGGCCGGUUCAGCAUACCAUGAUCCAUGUAGAAUCAACCCAUAUCAGCUAUCAUACAGUCAGAUAAAUUGUAAAACUGCGGUUAUAUUGCAUCUUGCACCAUAUUGGUACAUGAUUGAUAUGGGGACAAUGCAAGAUUUCAAACCCUGACCAAAUAUACCGUGCCCUAGUUAAAAAUAGAACCAUAAGUUGAAGUCUGAUCCGUUAACUGCAAUCCAUGAUCAGAUCUAAUAUGAUUAUCUAAAACAUUGUCAAAUAUUAAACUUGAGUAUAGCUUAGCAAUAGAUGGAUGUCUGAUGAUUACCCCAUUUGGUUUAGAAAAAGUUGAGGAGGUGUGAUAAUUAAGAGCAUGAUUAGGUGUUUAGUGUUUGCAAAAAAGAGGGCCAAGCACAGGGGUGGGGGCAGAGGGUUGAUGGGUGGGGUUGGAGAAGAGUUUUGGAGGGGAGAAAUGGUGACAACAGAUGCUUUUGAGGGGAGCUGCAACUUUGGGUGCGUGUCAGGGAAGUGGAAUUUGUGCAAGAAUUGAGACAGGUGAAAAGGAGACUGAGGGAGAGUAAGAGGGUAAAAGAGGUAAUUAUAGAUUUGGUGAACAGUUGCAUAAAUUGAGUUAGGAUGUGAUUAGAUUUUUGGGUCAAAAAAGCAUACUGGACCCAGCUUCUUCAGAUUCGGUUUGAAUUAGGAUCCAAUCAUCGAUAAGCCUAGCUAAAAUGUGCACUUUGGCACAAUAAGGCAGCUAGAACAUAUCAGAAGCCAAACUCAGUAAAGCCUUAGGUCUAAGUUCCGCCAUGCUCUUUGUAUGUGGUUGGGUUCAUGAGCCGCAUUAUAGUCCUUCAAGUUUUCAUAGCUAACCAUGGCUAAUUCUUAACCUCAAAUCAAUAAUUUGUGAAUUGCUAUUACUGAAUUGCUGGCUAAUAUAGCCAUGGAUUAAUCCAAAAUUUCUUCAUUUGCCCAGGCUCAUAACUUUAUUUUCUCUCUAGAAAAGUACAUUACAAAUGCUCCAUUUAAAAUAGAAUGCAAAUGUUUUACUUAAUUUAGGUUCAGAUAAACGAGCAUUUAGCUAAGCAGUUAGAGAUUUCUUGAUAUCAUAUAUGUGUAAUAGUCAUUAGGCAGCAAUCUAAUGUAAAGGGAAUAUAAGUGUACUCUGAAUUUAAUACAAUAUUCAGAACACUUAAAGGAUAAUUAAAAGUUCAAACUAAAUAUCUUGAAUAAAAAGCAAAGUUUAUUGGCAUGGCAUACAGAUUUUAAAGUUUGGAGGGGAAUAAAACCAGAAGAAAAGAAAGCAGAUGAAGGUUUCGUACUUGCUUAGACAACGCCCUUUCUAUAGUUCCCCAGACAGGAAAUAUUAGGCCACCCAAAACAUUGACCUCUUGUAAUCGUCUCCCAACUGUACAAUAAUUGCCAAAUUUGCAUUUCGGUCCAUGCAUGCACUGAAAUAUAGACAGUUAACAUAUAACAAAAAAAAGUAAGAAUUACAACAAUAAGAAUGUUAUGGACAUAUACAUAAAUUGGUUAGAAAAUACUGCUAGAUGAAAAAGAACAAAUGCAUGCAAGUAAGCAGCCACAGGUAGUCCAAACAUUCAUGCACAAACGGAAAUUGAGAUACUUUGCUAUAAGUAGUUCUCUAUAAAUUAGGUGCAAGAAAAAAAGCAAAUCUGUACUUCUAGAAUACUAGUCUUCCACUAAGAAGGUUAAUUGUUUAAAGUCCUACAACUUGCACUCUACCAUUUAUGAUUCCUCCUCAACAACAGAACUAAGAAAUUUGCGAAUUUGGAGAUUGUUGCUGCCUGUAUUGCUAUUUCGGUCCAUGACAACUGUCAAUCUAUUUGACAAUUUUCAACUGAAAAAGCAUAGGCUGCUUCUUGUUGAAAAAGAGAUAUUUCAAUUCUCCCUUGUUUCUGAGUUCUCUCUUAACCAUUUUGAUGACCCAGUUGCCCACACCCAUUGUACCAGACUAUAUUACCCUUCAUCAUAGGUUUUGUUUUAUUGAAUGAAGUCAAGAUUCAGUGGGCAGAAUGGUUGGGUGUUAUAAACUAACUUAGUAGGUUUGCUACAAACAUUAAUUAUUACAAAAGAAUGAUUGGAGCAGAAUCCUAGUUGAAUGUCAGUUUAUUUUCAUCACAGAUCUGACAUAAAAUUUGGAGAUGAAUUCUUUGCUAGAUGGAAAAAUGAACCAAACAUCUAACAUUUUAUUUUCAAACUAGCCAUUUACUUAUGUUUAUCCAAUUUGACAUGUAAAUAAGCCAUUUCCAGCCUAUUGCCCACUAUGUUCUCACUGGGUGUACGAUCCUUCAUUUGGUGAAUAGUCCUAAUAAUUAGCAAAUUAUCUCUUUCAUUGCAAAUGUAUAACUCUUGAGAUUUGUUUGGUCACUUUCUUUCAAAAGCUUGCUUACUUUCCUUUCUAUCAGCUGUUUAGCACUCAAAAUGUGAAAAUUUAAUUAGAGGUUAAUAAUACUUGUAAAAGAGUAGGAACAUUGAUUUAGAAAGAAAUGAAAUAUACUAUAUAUGUAAACAUUAUAUAUAAUAAAUCUUAUAUUUGGUGUGGUGUUAAUAUGUUCUGCUUAUGCACAAGCAAGAUAGGAUGACAAAAUAAAAAAAAAGCAAAAGAAUAUUUACAGGUGGCUGCUUAAGUGGCCAUAUAGAUAGUCAAGAGUAAAGAAUGGCACAUGGUGGACACAGAUUUAGAGAAUUGAAAGCAAUCAGCAAUUUAAAAUUUGAAAUCACAGAUGUUUCUGAUCUUAUAAUAGUGAUUUUAAGAAGAAAAAGCACAGCUGUAAGUGGGUGAAACUUAAUAUUUGAAACAAUUUGUGUGAGAGAGAGUGUGUGUGUAAAUAACCAUAACAUCUAGUGAUUAUCUAUGUUGUGAUCACCACUACGCUAAUCGUGCAAGCACAAACAAUGCCUAAUGUUAGAAUAAACUCAAAAGACAUGCAGAUCAUCUGAUUCUUAUGCUAAGUUUUACCAUGCACCUUUCUGUAAUAAUAGAAUAUGUUAAACAUGUAUUGAGAUCAUAAGGUAGACAGAUACAGUUAAGUACUUAGAAAAGAUAGAUGGAGGACAAAACUGUCAAAAAAUCCACCAGAAUUAAGACAGCACAGUUGUCAUUCUCUCGUCCUAUUUGCUCUAGAUAUAACGGGUCAUUCGACAUUACUAGAUAAAUUGUAACCAUGAAAAGUAACUAAUUCAUACUGAGAUCAUUAAGAAACAAUAAUUUGUGUUUAAAUUACACAUUUUUAGAUUUAACUGGCUACAUAUAAUUUUCAGUUUUUAAAAUCUGGACAUUAGUGGAAAUGAUGAGUACAAUUACCUGUUUAGAAGAGACAUCAUAUUCAUCUUGCCAACCUUUGCUGGCUUUUUCAAUUGAAGACACCUUUUUGUAUUUACUUUUGAGCUCGGGUAGAGACAUUUCCCUGGAGAAAGGGCAUAAGGUUUAAAUUCCAAAAAUAACCUCAACAUGCAAUAAAAUAAUUAAUAAUAAUAUGGGUAUUCCAUCAUAAGUACCUUAGGGCUUCCCCAACAGCUGGGCGAAAAAUUUUAAACAUACCUGCAGCUGAACUGUUGCAACAUAUGGAGGAGAAGAAAAAAAAGGUCAAAAAAUAGCAUUUAAAACUUCAAAGAAUCUCCUAUAGAAUUAAAGCUCUAAAGUCUAAAUUAAUAAAAAGCAAAAUAAUAAACUAGAGUGAAAAAAUUAACAUGUCUAUAUGGUACCACAUUACAACUGAAAACAAACCAGCUAUAACCGAGAUAAUAGUUGUAUAAUUGAUGCUAGCAGUGAGCUUACCCAUGACAUCAUUUUUUUUAUAUUCAAUACUUUUUUUUAUUCUCAAUAAGUUGAAAUAAGGAAGAUAUUGCAAAACUUUAAGGUUUACAAAUCUUAAAUAGCAAAGAGAAUAUAAUUUUUAAUUUGACCUGCAUAGUACAUACAUACAUACAUUUAUACAUAACAUACAUACAUAAUAUGCAUACACACAUAGUACUGCUUGUAGGUAACUGCAAAUUGUUGCAUUUGAGAUGUAAGUCCAUUUUAAUUGUGUAUGUAGGGAUCCAUGCCCUACCCCACCCCCCCCCCAAAAAAAAAAGAAACAGUGCAAUGAUUGGUCAAUUGACUUUGCAUAUGCAUCCCAAAAUGCUAUCACUUGCACUUUCUUAGCGAGGGGUCAAAUAUUUGUAGGUUUUUACACAAUGGAGAGGAUAGAGAAGACAACAUGGCAUUAACAGUCAAGGAUUAGGUGUGGCAAAAUUUUGUCCGACGGAACUAAUCCAGUCUGACCCGAAAAAAUUGGGUCCAGACUCCAGAUAAUGGUUCUCUUGUCCAAAAUCCAAGCCCAGAUUAUCUGAUUUAAAAACAAGGUCCAGCUCCGGGUCAGCAUAUCUGAACUGGGUCCAAAUACCCCUACUUAUGAUUCUAAUCUUAUGUUUGUACUUAAAGCAAAAGCCUUAACUAAAGAUUCAAAGUUUCCUAUCCUAUACAAAACCAAAGAAAAACUGAGAUUUCCCCUUUCACUCUUGUGUGUCUCGAUUCCCGACUCUUGUUUCUCACCUCUCCCUAUUUCCUUCGCCCAUGAAACCCUAGUCAUAAUUUCACCACCAUUACUCCUACUAUGAGGAAUGACCUCAAUUCUCCUUUUCUUGUGUCAGUGGUCCAACACCCCACUCGACCACAAUCCUGAUGACUGACCAUGGCACAAAUUCAAUUCUUCAUCUCUUCCUACCUCAUCGCCCCACCUUCAGUGCUUCCCCGACCACAGCACUAGAGGUAGUUUGCAAGGUGCUCAGCUAGGGAGAAAAUUCAGCAAAGGCCAACGAGAUAGGAGGCAUGAUAAAACUAGAGUUUCUUCAUUAUUCGGAGGGAAAAAAGGAUUCGCUUACAGUAAUCAAACAGUGCAUAGUAUAUAUUUAGCGAUUAAAUGAGUAUCCCACGGAGCUAGAAUCUAGCGACAAAUGAGUUUUUUGGUAGAAAGCAAAAAAUUCCAUUUCUCUUAUAAAUAUACACCCCACGUGACAUAUUUAAGAUCCUUAACACCAAUGAGGACCAGAACCAAGAGUAAUCUAUAUUAUUAGCUAAAUUGGAGAGGUCAUCAAGAACUUGAUUACCUAGUAACAAAUGAUUAGUGUACAAAAAUGAUAACUCAAGGAUCCGAAAAUACUAAAGACAACUGUAAUCUAUCAAAUAAAGCUUCGACAAAACCGUCGAUAGGUAAGAUAAGGAAACCAUUGUCACCAAGGUAACUUUGUCAUCUAUGAACAUAACCUGACAUCCACCAAUGAUACUUUUACAGCUAGUUUGGACAUUGAAAUUUUGAACCAAAACAUUUUUUUGUGCAAAUUCAAAGAGAAUGUUUAGGUUUAUAAGCAUAUAUUGUGAAAUAGGUUAGGGUUAGUGGUAUAUCUCAGUAGCAAAUGCAAUUGCUCUGCACUAAUAAUGACAAGAAUAAAUGUUAGAAAUUUCCAAGAAACAACAACAAAAGGAAGCCAAUAAGUGUAUCUUCUGACAUUCUUUACAAGAAAUUUGUAUGUUGAAAAAAAAAGAAUAUAUAAUGUGUCAAAACAAAGGUCUGCCGUGCCGGUACAGGAGCCCGUAUUGGUCAUCCAGUGGCAUGGUUCGGUACGCCCCCAUGUCGUUCUAUGCAGGGCCCAUACCAACACAAAAGAGAGAGCGAGGGACCAGGAGAGGGAGAAUGGGAAAGGAGAAAAGAGAGAGGGAGGAGGGACGCCGCAGGCCUCCAGAGGGCCCAAAUUUUCAGUGAAGGCGGCAAACCGCUUGCCGACUUCACUUAAAAUUUUCAAAAUAAAAAAAGGAGCCCGACGGAUCCCUAUUUCGAACGACACAAGGUCCAGAGGGUAGAGCCCCUACUCCGACCCUUCGGAGCCCCUCUGAUGCCCUCCAGAGGCCUCCAGCGACCCUCCCUCCAUCCCUCUAGCUCUUCCGUCCCCUCCCCCUCUAUCUCUCUCUUUCCUUCUCCCUCUCCUCCCACCUGCCAGUUUACCAUUUUGAAUGAUGAAAUUGUCCUAAUCCACUACCGUCAUGGCUCCGUACGCCCCAAACCGGACGGUUCGAUAUGGUUCCGCAUUCUUUGGUCAAAACUUUAAAGAACAUGUUUCUUUUAGCCUUUAGGUAAAUUUCAAUAAAUGUGCAGCGAACAAGUAAAUAAUCAUGUGCAAAACACUAACUUCCCCUCUUUUAGUUUAAAGCAAUUUGAACCAAAGAGGGGCAUAUGAACUUGAACCACCAGUUUGGGGCAUACCAAACCAAACCAAACUGGUGGUGGUAUCAGUUCGGUUCAGCUGUUCGGAUUGCUAAAGGCCCCAAACCGGCCUGAUCUGAGCGGAACCACCUGGUUCCGCUCGAUUCAGAAUAGUUCGGGGCGACUUGGGCCCCUUACCUCCUCAAUCAUAGAGAGAAGAGGGAGGCCAUCCUAUGGCCUCCUCCUCCCUUUUCUUCCUCAAUAACAGUGAUUUAGGGGGAAAAACUCAGGGAAAAGGGAUUUUUUGCCAAUUUUGAGCCCAAAUAUAAGCAAAACCAGGUAUAAUCCCCUCCCUUCUCCUCAUUCCUCUCCUUUUUCUCAUUUUGAUGCCUAAACUAGGCCGAAAAUUGGUAAAUCAGGAAAAAUCAUACCAAAAUUUUGUAUUUUGGCAUGAUUUCAUGAUAUGUCGUUGAUCUAUGGAUAACCUACAUAUUGUAUCAAAAGCCACCCUUCAUAUAACCUACUACAAGCAUAUAUAGGACAUGACCCCCUAAUUCAGGUAUUAAACCCGAUACAAAAUCACAUUAGAAAUAUAAUCCACUAAUAAGGAAACAUGCUAGAAUUAUCUGAUUACAAAUUAAAAAAAAAGAUAAAAUUUGACUUCUGUUCACUCAUGCGCUCACUCAUAGGUAGAAACAAAAUCAAAUAUUUGCAUGUCGAAGUCUUCGCCCAUGAAUCUACACUCUUGUGAGACUUGGCAUGGUCCACCCGAUCAUAAAAUUUUAUAAUUUAUAUGUAUUUUCAAAGUCAAGAAUCUGCAUUGCUAAUGUUAAAUUAUUACAAUUGCAUCCAUUAAGCAAUCAUAUGGCCUCUAGGAACAAUAUGACAUAAAACAAUAUUAAAAUACCCCUAAAAUCAUAAUUUAGAUAUCCAUAAACCUUAAAAUAAUCUUCAAAAAUAAAAAUAUAAAAAUAAAGAAAAUGUUGUACUAAUACCGAACCGAUAUGCAUUUACGUAUCGAGUGUCCAUGUGGCACGGUAUGGUACCAUAUUGUGCUAGUCCUAUAUCAGUGCAUUGCCCAGAACCCAAACUACAGUCCUUGUCCUAAACUAUAAGUGCAUGUGCCAAAAGGAAACCAAUAACGAAAAUGAAGUAAACCUCCUGUUUAAGCUAAGAUAUAAAGGGAACUAAUCUCCUCUAAUUUCUACACAAAGAAGUUCAAGGAAUAACAAUAUUCAAUUAGGCCCAGUCAAACAACUGCUCAGGAAGCCCUUUUUUCCCUAUGGUUGAUGCUUACCCUUUUUGGAAGAGGGUCAUCUUGGAGCCCCUUGCAUUCGUUCAGCAAUACACGAAUGGAGUUGAGAUCAUUGCGAAGUUUAUUGUAUAGAUCUAGGUUAAGCUCACAUGAACACCCACAUUAGGCUCAUAGCUGCUGACAACUUCCCCUUCUAUUCCUAGCUACAUUGUUUCUAUAUGUUAAAUGAGAUGCUUCAGCUGGCACCUUGCGUACAGGUGGUGCUAUUGUGGUUUCUCCACAAGAAACAGUGAGAGUUUCUGGUGUCAAUCCUGGACCACAGCUCUCACUGAGGCGCUUGCUGACACUCCUCCACUCCAAUUUGCUAGAUACAUGUAUCCUCAUGGGCAUAAUGUGCCUCAAAUGAAAAGAGGAAACCACGCAACUAAUGUAUCAUGCUUCAUGCCUUAGUGGCUUUAGGCCCCCAAGCCCACCAGCAGCUUGGCCCAUGAAGAGGACCAUGGUUUUGAACUAAUUGUGUGUGAAACUCCUUUAGCCCCAACUCGCCUCCCCCCAUCCCACCCAAAAGAAAAUCAACUCAAUUUUUUUUUCCUAGCAUAACUUUUACUGCCUACUUUUACUUUUAUAAACAAAACUAUGAAACUCGAUAAUGCAUCUAAUAGAGAUUCUAGGUAAAAUUUUUAGUAGAAGCAGAGUUUGCCGUAUUGGUUGGUAUCGGUGCAUACCGACUACACCAUACCAAACCAUUGCACAGUACAGGAGGCGUACUGAGUGUGGAUACAUUAAACCAGCCCCCGUACCGACACAAUAAUAGAAUAAUAUCAGUAAGGGAUCCAGUACUGAGACGGCGAACCUUCAGCAUAAGUUUAAACAAAAUCAUGAUUAUUAGCAGAUGACGUACCCUUCAAAUGCUAGCAUAAAGUGCCGUUUCCCCAUCCAUUCUCUCCUAGACUCAUAGAAUCCAUCACUGACACAACCACCUCCAUCCUUUUCCCUCUCAUCCAGUAGAUUUUUUGCUGACUGCAUAAAGACAAUCAGAUAUAUGAAGCAUAUAGCUACUAUUGAAAUAUUGAGCAGAUAUAGACUGCUAUAUGAUCAUGUAUUCAGUAAGGUCACGUAUUUACCUCCCAAGUCAUACCACGAUCAACAAUGAAUGUAAAUAAUACAGUAGAAGCACCCGAUAAAUUAUCAACAAAAACAGUCUGUAAAGAAUAUCAUGAAUAUAUGUGUGAGAACCAGAAAUUACUGUUGUAAUAGGUAAUUUUGAAGGAAAAAAAUUACCUUGGGUGAUCCCUGCAAUUCAAUGAUGUUACCUCUGAUAUCAACAAUCCCCGAAUCAAAUUGCCCUUCACUUCGUGCAUUGUGAACAAGAAGAUCAAGAAUGCUGAUAAAAAGUUCAAAAAGCCUGGAAGAAUAAUUAAUAUGUUAAUUGACUCAAUGAUAGUUUCUUGCACUGCAGCUAAAAGCAUUUCUCAAUUAAUUACGGGCCUAUUCUGGAUUUCUGGAGGCAAGCCCAAAAGACGAUUUAGAAAGCGUCCAACAUCAUGCAUAUCUGAAUCUACUAUGCGGCCAGUGACCUUUCCAGCAUCCUUUCCAUUGCCUGUAUUAACCACCACAGAACUGACAGUUAAAAAAGAGAACGAGAUGAAAAAUUAAUACAAGAAUCUUGAAAAUGGGAAAAAAGAAAACAAAAAAAGAAAAACUUAGCAUUUUAAAUGAAAAACCCACUCAACAAUGGACAGAACAAAUACAUGAAACAAUAUGGCUCUCAAGGAUACAAUGUGGACCUCUCCAAACAUUUGGAGGAGAUUUGGUAAGGUUAUUUUAUACAAUAUGGCUAGGCACUAAUAUACAUGAACAAAUUUGUGUGUGUGUGUGUCAAAAUUCAAUCACAGAAGUUCCCCACAAGGUCUGCGGAACCGUCCCGAACCGCCCGGUUCGGGGCGUCCCAGGCCGUACCACUAGUGAACCGGGACAGUUCCGCUAUUGAAACCGAGACAUCUCUGUCCGUCGCCAGAGGGGGAGAAGGAGAAGAAGAAAGAGGAAAAGAUAGAGAAGGGGGAAGGGAGGGAGAGGGAGAAGAAGAAAGAGAGGCCAGCCGAGGCCAGCCGGCAAAGGCCAAGGAGCCUCCACACGAAGGAGGCGGAGGCCAAGGAGACGCGAACGCGGGGCUCCGCCUCCGGUUCCCUGUUUCGUUCGAAAUAGAAGCCUAAAGGAGGCCCCUUUUAUUUUUGUCUUUUUUAAGUUGAAGUCAGCAAGCCCCGCCUCUGCGUGUCCCCGGCCUUCGCCAGUCGGCUCCGACUGAGCUCUCUUUUCCUUCCUCUCUCCCUCCCUCCCCCACUCUCUCUUUUCCUCUCUCAUUCUCCCUCUCCCCCGUCUCUUCUACUGUAUCGGUACAGGCCCGGCACGGCACGGCACAGGCCCAUACCGACUCGUCCCGCCAGACAACUGAUACGGUGCCCGGUACCGGUUCCGCCAACAUUAGUUCCCUAUAACAAAAUGGAUAGACAUCUAAUACUGUCGAGAGGCGAGGGGUCAAAAGUCAGUGGCAAGACUACAGUAGAUGUACGGGCGUGCCACCGGUAUUGUGUAGCUAGAAAUAGGAUGAUCACAAGAAGAUAAUAAUAGUGUGGGUCCAAAUGCCUUAACCUUCAAGGACUUGUGGUAAUGAUUGAAGCAAUCUACUGCUACUGCUACUCUUAAGGAAAAAGUCCUACCAGUAAACUACGAGUAAGAUAAAGUAAAGAUAAAGAAAAGAUAAUUAAAAAAGAUAAAUGGGAUUCAUGGAUGUUUCGAAGGGUCUCCUUUUUUUAGCAUUACAAUAUAAUAUUUAUAAAUGACCCUCUUUAACUAUCUUGACACUUGUCCUUGCCAUUGCAUGCCACAUGGGCCACUAUUGCCAAGACUGGUAGGUAGUGCUACCGCUCUGCUCGCAUCCUAGGUUGUGGUAAGAUGGAUGCCAUUAAUUAGUUUUGCCACUUGUCAUCGCUAGUAUUCCACAUGGCCCACUAUUCCAUGUAUGAGGAUCAGCCCGACUAGACCGGCCUGGGCCUGGGCCUAGACCAACCUACUAGUGGGCCGAUCUAGAGUGGAGUGCAUGGCCCGAAGGCCUAUUCCAAUUAAAAAAAUGGGGGCAAAAAACCAUGUUUUAGUUGGAGACGAACUCCUGCCCGAUCUCUGAUGGGGGGCUAGGAAUAACCUAGCCUCUGCUUCUAUUUAAAGGCCCCCACCUCCUACUUACGAGCCACCAUUGCCGAUCACCGCUAGUAUCGCUCUCUUCCUCUUCUUCUUUCGGAAGACCUUCCUUGGUACCCGCCGGAAUCAUGGAGCAAACCCUUGCCAGCAACAAGGUAAUAAACCUUCUUCUCCUCACUCUUCAUGUCCCUACGCUACCAUCGCCGACCCAAUUGAAGUCGGUCAGUCGCCGGAUUCAGCCGCACACCCUCUCCCCUGUUUGGCGUGAUCCUUUGUUUCUUCUUGUUCUUUCCACCAUCGGCCAAAAUCCGUAGUAAAGUUGCUCCAGUUCUUGUCGGAGUUCGGCUUUCUAGCCGGUGAUAUUGUCAUCAUCAUUGAUUUCUCCAUGGUGAAUUGUGCGGGGAGUUGUUGUUCCAUGCUUUCUCUUCCCCUAUUUCUCUUCUACCGGCCAACCACUGUCGCCACCAUGGCCCACCACUCUGGUCACAAUGACGGCUCAGGUAGCACCCCUCUUCCCUUCCUUUGUUUUGAGAAAAGAGAGGGAUACCAUAUUCUCGUUUCCCCUCUUCCUUCUCUCUCUUUUUAUCUCUGCUCUUUCUUUCUCUCUCUACCUGAUUAUGGGGAUCUAGUGGAGGAUCCCAAGUUUCAAUCUAUAGACCCUAGGUUAGCUCCAGUAGAGGGUUCUGGACUAGCCCAUUUGUGACCUUUCUAUAUGUUGACCUCCACCUAGUCAGUGCCCGACAUUCUUGAAUCUCAUCAUUGAUGACCCUGCCUUGCCCUCCUUGCUCUGAUCUGACUUGUUUCAUGAUCCAUUGGUUCCCCAGAUCGAAACAGCUCAUGUUAUUGGGCAUUGUUACCUGGUAUAUCGUGUCCUUUUUCUCUAUUUCUUGAUUCGCUCCACAAUUAAUUCUAAUUAUUAUAAAUUUUCUGGAUAUUGAUUCGGUUCCAUAGGCAUGCAAUCAAUUGGACGAGAAGACGUUGAGCAAGGAGACUUCUGCUCUGAUCCCUAAAUCAAGGUAAUCCCUAAUAUCUUUAUUUAAAUUAGUCACAUGUUAGGUAGGAUCGAGAAAAUUAAGGAUAAAAAUAAUUUGAAUGCCAACAUUCUGAAUUAGGAACUUAGCAAUGAUUGGUUAAUUAUUAUUGUUGAUGAUUGGUCAAGAACAAGUUGGUUUCAUAUUGAUUUUUAAAUUAGACAUGUUAGGUGGGGACUGGUAGCAUUGCAACUGAGUUGGUUGCAGCAAUGAUAAGAAUUCCUAGACACGAUCACCUGUAUUUACAUAUGCUUAUUUGUACGUUGUGUGGUUUCGGUUUCAUGGCUGAUUGUUGUUGAUAUGUGAUUGCUUGUACGAUUAUUUAUGUUUUCUAUAUUAUAUGAAUGUAGUAACUAUUGAUGGCUUUUCUAAUGACUACAUGAAAGUUUAAAAGGAAUAUAAUAUUAUACUACAUCACUUGGCAUGAAUAAAAUUUAAUAAACUGAUAAUUAAGAAAGAGGUGUUUAGACUAGCCGCAUUAAACUAUGGAUAGCCUCAUCACAGGUAGGAACAUGGCAAUAUGGAUAGCCUUGUCAUGGGCAGGAACAUGGCAAUGUGAAUAGCCUUGUCAGGAGCAAGAACGUGGCAUUAUGGAUAGCCUGCCAUAGGCAGAAAUAUGGCAUUAUGGAUAGCCCUGCCAUAGGCAGGAAUGUGGUACUUGAGCUUGUUAGUCACAGGCUGGAGUGUGGCCAUGGUUAGUCCAAAACCUAAAGAUAAUGUUGAUUGAUUCAGAUCCAGUUAUGAGAAAUAGAUGAUAAGUUAUAUGAAACCACUGAGAGGAUUUGUGAUGAUACACAAUGUAUGUUAUAUGCAAAUAUAACAUUUUGAGUUAUAUACUGGAUGCUUGAUAUGGUAUUUCAUGGUUUAUAUUUUCACUCUGAUACUGUUUGUUUGGUAUUCUCGAAUUAUACUAUUAUAUUUGUGUGGAUGUAUGGGGGUUCUUACUAGACUAUAAUGUUCACAGCAUCUCCUCUCUUUUUUCUUUCAAAGUUGCAGGAUGCUUAGUACCUGGCUAUGGUUGGGAUCACAGGUGGAAGGAUGAAUAGGUAGAACAUCAUUGAUAUUGGUCGGAUGGUUGAGUUUUGUAUUUGUACAAUUCUUGUUAUUUGUUAUAAAUUGAGAUCAUUAUUGUUCACUGAUAUUGAAGUUGCAACGAAUUUACAAGCCUUACAUAUUCUCUAGGGCUUGCCCUAAGAAGUGUGCAGCCAUGUCAUGUGGCCAACCUGGGUGAUGGGUUUGAGGCAUGACAAUGCGCAUGGUAGGUAGUGCUACCACUCUUCUCAAUUCUUGGAUAGUUUAACUACUUCCACAUCAAGGAUAUGAUAACCAUCAUCCUUGAACUCUGCUCCACUAAAAUCCUCAUCCUAGGCUAAUAGCUCUCAUUCUCCUCGGUCUACACCAUAAUCAAUUGACCUAUACCCUUGAUGUUUGGGCCUAUAUAUUUGGCCUACACAGCCCACUUGAAGACCUGCUACUUGGUCUAUUCUAGAGAACCUCCAGCACUUAUUAUUUGAUUGGCCUUUGGAACACCAUCGUCAAUCUGGAUGUGGUGUAAACACAUAUGAAGAGCAUUUAUAGAUCACAAUUGGUUGAGUACUUUAGUUGAUUGCAAUGGUGAAUUCAAAUCAGGAAAUGUCACUUAUAUACCUCACUAGUAUGUUUGGCCAUCUGAUUUUUCUACUAUAGCAAAUAGGCCUUGUAAAGCAGGAUAUGCUACGAAGUGUUCCAUGCAGUAUUGGUGAAGUUGCAAAACCAUAUUCAAGUGGCCAUUGCAUGGAGAGUUUAGGUAACAUGAGUAAAGCAAUAGUCACCUUACUAUGACGAAGCACUUAAAGUACUACUAAGUGUAUACUUACAGAGAACUGUAUCCCUAACAAUUCCAACUGAUAUUAGAGCAGCUUUAGCCUUGGUGAUAAAUUCCUGAACACUAGCUGGAUUCUCAGAUGAACAUCCAGGAGGCACGACCGGCAAAGGAUCCUGAUAAGCUAAAGAAAUGUGAAUUUACAUGGUAUUCAGCUUUGAACCAAAAAAAUAGCACAAAAUAAGUUUGAACAGAAACAGCUAUAAAAACCUGCUCCAUUAUUCCUCUAUACAUCAUUGCAAGCGCCCUCUUUCCAUAAUUGCUAUCAUAAUUAAAAGCACUUAAUGAUAGACCAGCCCUAUAGAAACAAUAAAAAAGAAUAUGGAAUGAGAACAAACACAUAUUAUUCUCUUGUAUUUUAGUUCAAGUUUGAGCAUAUUGUGUUAGUUGAACACAAACAAUCAAUUAUAUCAGAAUUAACCUGCGAUCUCCUUGUGUUAGAGCUCCAAGAGACUCUAAUCUCUUUGCUACAAUUGAUGCAAAUCGCCGUUCACCACCAAGAUUUGUAAAAAGAAGCCUAAAAGCAUAAAAUUAAAAUUAAAGAGCAAGACAAUUAAAAUUGAAGCAUAUAAAAUUAUAAACUUCUUUAAGAAAAAAGGAAAAGAAAAAGAUUGAGCACAUAUUAUCUGGCCAGAUUCUGGGAGACCACUGCAAAUAAAAUUGAAGAGCAAGACAAGGCAAUGCACUUUCAUAAAAUGACUUCCUUCAGCCAUAUACUAGCUUAAAGAAAGAACAAAGAAGUAAUGAAUGAGAUGAUGCCAGAAAAAUACGGAAGAACUCCUCUUUAGCGACUCAAUCACUAGAAAGUGCACAAGUCAUUAGGUUACAUUUAGUAAUAGAAAUGCAAUUUGCCCUUAGAUGGGUAAAUUUAGGUUCUUUUGACUAUUUUAAUACAUUUUGAAUAUUUGUUAGGCUGAAAUUUGGACGUUCUUAGACAUUCUUCGCUUCCCAAGGAUAAGUAGUUUAAAUCUUAGUUGGGAAAUGGUUUUGACAAGCAAAAGUAAGAUUAUUUUGAGGGUAAAAUAGUUAUUCCAACUGCCUUUGUUAAUUUUACUUCAUAUAUUUGGCUCUAUAUUUCUGACAUGCAAAAAAAUUGCCAAUAAAAGCUAGUGAAGUCUUUAAAAUUAUGGUAAGCAGAGGGAGAAGUAACAGAACAAAAUGUCAAAGAGUACACAGGAAUAGUUGCAUUCUAGAAAAAAAUCAUAAACAUACAAUAAACAUAUGUCAAAUGGACUUUUAAGAAAACCUAAGAGACUCAUCUAGUUACAGUUAUAAGAAACGACCUAUAUUGAGGUGCAGAAGCUUGAUUAGAGCGAUGAGUUCUUCCAAACUGUUGAAUGGCACGGUCAGCACUCCAAGGAAGCUCUAGAGUUAUAUGUACCCUUCUUUUCUGGCAACCAUAAUUCACAUGAUGCUCAAUCGAAAGAUACUUUCUGAGGUAGCAAAUUCUUGAAGAAUUCAAACAUGAGGGAGAAGGCAAAGCUCAAGAAGAGAUAAACCUGAUUUACUGCCCUUCUAUCAGCCUGUAGAGACACACCAGCUGAACCUGCUUCAGAUAUUAUAGCAACCAACUUUUUGCCAUCCAUAAACAAUUGUUUCUCAUGCAUAUUAACCAUUUCCAUGGCAACUUCCUUUCUGCAGAGCAAUAAAAAAAUCAUUUCGAUUUUAAUAUGAUAAAAAAAUUGAAAACUAAAGUUACACAAAUCCAUCCUCACGUGUUGCGCGCCUGAUAAAUAACACCUUUUCCAGUUGAAGCCCUUAUUAGCAUACCUCGCCUACCAGUCAUUUCUGCAACAUUUUCAGGGCCCCCUAACUGCAGAUAUACAUGAACAGUUGAGUAGCUUACUGGUAAAGAUACAAAUCCACAUUGAAAAAGUUAAUGAGAUAAAAUGUGCUGAUGAUAACCAUAAUUUUCGAUUGUCUACAUUCAACAAUCACUAGAUUGAUAGAAUAGAACUUUCCAGUUGUCAGUGGCAUAACUAGCAAAAUGUAAUUGUUUCUGGAAGUAUUCGUUGUAAGUACAUUAUAGGCUCAUUCUUAUAAUACAAUACUUGAACAAAGUAAACCAUCAGCAUAGAUACACCAUAAGCACAGUGCAAUAGAAGGAAGCAUAGAGCAUCAUAUCCACACUCUAUAAUAAUGACCCAUGACCUCACCAAAGAAGGCUUGUCGAAAGGUUAUUAUUUAGGGUCCUUACAUUGCUUAAGUACCCAAGACCACCCCAAAGCACAACAGGUGUAGGACUAUACCUACGUAGGACAUUACACACUCCCCUCAUUUAAGCCCUAGCAUCCUCACCAACAGAAGAGUCCAAUCAUAAGCACCACAAGAGCUCAAGAUCAGCCAUCAAAGUGCCCAUGCUGCAACAUCCCCUGGUCACACAUGGGUCGUGGGCUAGGCCAACUCUAAUAUCAUUUGUAACUACCCAAGCCUCACCCAAAAGGACUAGCUAGAUGGUUAUCAAAUGGGGUCCUUGGCCUUGCUAAGUACCCAAGACCUCCAAUGCACAAGUCCUGUGGGACUAACUGCACGGUCAUGCAGGUCCUAACACUAUACAAAGAUCAGUGCAGAAGAAUGAAAAACAUAUGUAAUUGUGAUCAACUGAUUAGAUCAUGGAUAGAUUAGCUCGGUAUCAGUUGGUGAGCAAAAAGAUCACAACAAUUCAGCACCUCUAUGACCUAUUUUCCAGUGUCUGGACUAUGGAACCCAAGGGAAAUCUGAUGACUUUUUGGCAUUGGCUGAGCAGACCCCCUUCUCCACCAAGGAGAAAGUCUGGUUUCUACCAUAGCAAUGGACCAAUUGUAGCAUAUUUGCAAAUGAAUAUGGGGUUUUGAACUUGUGAAAACUAAAACUCAAAAGAGCAAGGACACCGAUAAUGUCUAGGGUAUGUAAUGCUUAGAAGUAUAAAUAAAACAAAGGAACUCAGUAAAACAAGUGCAACAGUUCUUCUAGAACACACACACCUAGGAAUUCUAGUUGCACCGUAUAGAUAACAGCUACGGUUAAAUAUAUAGCAUCUGAAACUGAAUUUGAGAUGAUCACCAGAUAUCGAACUUUUGUAAGAAAAAAUCUAUGUACAAAUGACCAAAUAAUACAGAGUGUCAUUGUUUUGAUCAUGCCACAUUAUGAAAUAUGCAACAUGAUAUUGUUGCCCAAGAUGGCUAAGUAUAACAUUUACUAGGGUAAAUCUGUGUAAAUAUAAAAAUAAAGUUUGGUAGACAUAAAAGCAUAUCUUCAGCGCUUGAACAAUCUCUAUUUCAGUUCAAUGACGAUAAAGUUUUAUUCAUAUAAAAAUUAAUCUUGAACGUUGAUGACUAAAUUUGAACAUAAUACUUGAUUUUAAAACAAGAAAAAACUCUUUGCAAAUUGGGUAACAAUAAUGAUAAUAUAAUAAAAGCAAAUUAAUUAUAUUUUCCUGCAAUUCUAACAGAUUUGAUGAUUCCAAGGAGUAUUGAGGCCUGUUCAUGAUAAGGACACCUACCUGAUCAAUUAAAUCAUCCAAAGGAUUGUUAGGCAGAUCCAAAGACCGGAUUAUAUCCAAAAUUUUUGAUUUUCGCUCCUGUGCAGCUUCAUACCUGACGAAUUAUAGUAUAAAUGUCAUUUGUCAAUUAUGUGAUCACAGAGCAAUUUAUUGGUGUUCAAGUAUAUACCUCUUCAAGAGUUCAGCUACAUAGGCAUCCCUUGCCUUGAAAUAUUCAUUAGUUUUCUCCCUGCAUGAGUAGCAUGACCAAUCAUCGGGAAGUAUAUCUGUCCAAGGAGGCACUAAACAAGCAGGGUGGACUAGUCGACCACAACAGGAACAGCGAAGCAACAAUUUCUUCUCCUUACAUGAUAAUAAAUACAUCAGCAACAGAGAAACGGAAAUAGACAAUACAAAAGAUAUUAUAAGUAGAAAAUAAAAGUCACCUCUUCACUGUUGCAAAUUUCACAUAUUUGGAACUCUUCAUCAGAUUCUGUUGAUUCAUGAUCGGACUCGGCUGCAACAAUCAUAAGAGUUCUAUCAAUAGGUAGACUAAUGAACAUUUAAGACUUCAGUGCACCUACCCAAAAAUAUAUAAAUUAGUUUAACCUAUUAAUUUACAACAACAAAAAAAGCAAAUUGGGCACAAAAAUUAUGACAACAGAAUGAUGGCACCGUGCAGCAUCAGUGUCUUUUGGAUGCCUACCAAAUACUGAACUUUUAUAAAUACUGCUACCAUCUAACUUGGUUCCACACCACCUAGUUUCUUCAUUAGUAUAAUGUCAUUUUAGGUUUUUCAAGAACUUCUCUAGCAAUCCCUUUAAUGUGUUCUAGCAAAUCAUCUCACAACCUUUCUAGUUCAGUUCUGAAAUUUUUGUUCCCUUUUUUAGUAACUUAUCUCUAGAACUUUUUUUUAUCUUACAAGUUUUUGUUGUUUUGCUUCUUUUCUUCUUGGUCCUUUGGUGUAUAAGACUGUUAUGAAGGGUCAUCUUACAAUCUUUUGCACAUUGAUCUCUCAUUUCUCUGGAAAAAAUUAACUCUUAGAAAUUUGAUCCAAACCUACAAGUAACCAAACCUUCAUUUCUCUUCCAAAAACAAGUAUACGAAAUUGCUAGAUGAUAGACCACCACAAACUCCAGCAGUUAAAAUCAUAUGCGCAAAUGUAAGAAAUUGUUUAUGUAGGGGCUCGUUUGGUUGGAGGUAAGUAAAAACAGUUUAAAAGUGCAGUACAAAGAAUUAAUUUGCCAAAGUCAUUUGCCAAGAAACUGUAGACCAUUUCAAAUGCUUGUUUGUAUGGAUAAAGUCUACUUCUUUAGACUUUCAAUGUUUGUUUUGAAGUAAGUCACAUUGUGUUGAAUUAUUAAAGAGGCACCAAAUAUUUGGAAGUGCCACUUCAGCACUAGUCGAGUGGUAGUCAAAAACUUAAACAUUUAUCGCGAUUGUGAAAGUUAUGUUUCUGGGUUCCUCAAACAAAAGUGCUAGAAGUGCCCAAUUUCACUUAAACUCAAUUUCUCCAAUGCUCACUUACCAACAACCAGAUGGACCCUAAUUGAAAGCCAACUUAUGAUUAACUGGAAAGUGAUCAUACAACCAACAGAGCUAGCAUGAAAAUUUCAAUCAAGGUUUAAAAUUUUGGCAGAAAUUGAUCGAUUUCGGCCAUGACCAAACCAAAACUGACCCCCCCAGUUUCGGGUUUCGGUCAGUUUCAGCUGAAACUAGCUUGUUGCCGUCCUGUUUCGGUGGUUUUGGCUAGUUUCACCGAAACUGAUCGAAAUUAGUUUUAAAUACUUAUUCUGAAUACUAUUUUGAUGUUUAAAAUAUAUUGGGGACAUUUCUUUAUUUAAUUAGUACAUAGGCUAUCGAAUAUUAAUUUCAAUUACUUUUCUUUCCUUUUAAGUAUAUAAUGUUAUAAAUGAAUAUAAAUAGUGAAUAUAAGUAUAUAAUUAUUAAUGAGCUAAGGACUUCGAGGAGGCCCCUAUUAAAGCGCAUUAUGAUAACUAAUGCAAACAAAUAAACAUAAGACACUUCAAAGAAAUAAUAUCUUUUUGAUACAAAAUGAAUAAAAUAUUAUAUAAUUACAUGCAUCUAUUAAAUAGUCACUUAUCCACAAAAAUAUGAGAAUUCAAUAUAUUUAUCAAUUCUACUAGAAAAUGAAGAAGAUUUGAAUGCACUCAACCAAGAAAUGCUGAACCGGUACCGGUAGGCAUACCGGUCGCCUACCGGACCGAUUCGAGACCGGUUCGUACCAGAACCGGUCUGGUCAGAACCGGUCAUUUAUUUAUAUUUUUUUUUUAAAGCUUCAAAGUUGCCAAAUAUAAUGGAUUUUAAAAACUGAAGUUUAUUGACAAAAUAUACUUCUUCAUAGAAAAAAAAAUUAAAGUAAUAUUUUGCUUACAUGCAAUAUUAAUUUCAGUCUAAAAUUGCUGAAACUAUACAACGAAAGCAACCAUAAAACGCAAAAUGCUCUAAAAUGCUAAUUAAUAACUUUUCUACACAUUUUCUUUUCUCUCUUUUUCUAUUCUUUUGAAUUUUUCCUGAUUUUUUUUGACUUAUGACCGAAACUCCGAACUUGGAGCAAAAUUUCUUAAACCGCUGAAACUGCCAAAACUGAAACUCCACAAACUUGAUCUAUACCAAAACUAAACCCAAUGUCAAAGAAUACAAAUAAAUAAAACCAAAGAGGCAAUCAUAGUUGCAAUAUAAAAAAAACAAAAAGAAAUUCCAGAUAAGAUUCAAAGAAUCAUUGAUGACCAUCAGUUUCAACGUGCAAGAAGUUUAUGUUACCCUUUUAAAGUGCCUAAGUUCAGAAACCAUGCUUGUAUAGUUUGUAUAGUGUACCUAACAGAAUUUAACUGUAAGUUUCUAAAUACAGUAGUCCAUAAGAAAAUAACGGAGCAUGUGAUAGAUGGGCAAGCAUACAGGUUCAGGUUUUCAGUUUCCAAUACUGAGUUCUCUCUUAUGAUAGAUAUGGUAGAAUCAAGUGAUAAACCAGUCCGCCAACAGGACACACACACAUACAUAUCAAAAUCUCAUGAAGUACCCUAAUUUUUGCUAGUCUAAAAUGAUUUAUUACUAGAUUAAAAUUAACUAAAGUUCAACAGAGAAUAGAAAGAGCAAUAUGAUAUUAAAUUACAGGAUAAGGCCAACAUCAACAUUAAACCAUGUGGUUGUUUUUAGAGCAAAACAAGAAAACCAGUGUCAUAGAAUUAUACACUCUUGUACUUCAUUUUCCAUUUAAAACGAAGUACCACAAUCCAUGACUACCAUUAAAAAUAUCAGCAUUGUAGAAACUCACUUUGAGAAUCCUCAUCACUUUCGUCAUCACUUGCAGCUUUCCAUUUUGCAACUUUUCUCACCCUUCCUUUACAUGAGACACCAGGAGUUGCAGAAUGCCUCUUCCGCUGGAGCUCUCUGACACUUUCUUCUAAAGUAAAGUUUAGAGGAAAAGCUGUUUUAUAAUGCAGCAGUGUUAAGAAAAAGGAUCAUCAACAAGUUGAGCACACACCUGGUGCUGAGUCAGGCUUUGGAGGCAAGGGAUAGUUUUCUUCCACCAGUUUAAGAAGGAGUUCACGAGGACCCGAAACAAAGUCAUCCAACUCAAGACCCUGCUCCACAAACCGGUCAACUAAAAAAAAGGGAGAAAAAGCUUCGAGAAUGCAUAACUGAACUGUGGAGACUGUGCUUAAAACGUAAGAUCAAUAAUAGAAGGAAACAAUGGUCUUAAAUAAAUAUAGAACAAGGUACGCACAUAUUUUGUUACAGCUUCCUCAGUUCGGGCUUCUCCAGUGCUUUGAAGACCAAUCACGACACACUUAUCGUCUGCCAGUGCCUGUUUGGCCAGCCUCAAAGCAGCAGGAACUUUAGCUGACAUACACAUGUGUCUGAAAAAACGCUGUCAACACCACAGCAUCAACAUCCAAUCUUUAUAAUCAUGGAGAAAAUUGCAUGUGCACGCAAGCAGACUCACGUACACAAGUCCAAGCAAGUGAUGCAAGCACUAAAAGCAGCAUUGAGGUUUAGUAUUUAUUAUCAUUGGACCAUCAAACACA